RNAcentral lists this long non-coding RNA (47468 nucleotides) under Triticum aestivum (bread wheat). Its description in RNAcentral is "long non-coding RNA (TAES_LNC015955)". The stretch from base 42130 to 42253 matches the Rfam family "MIR1120/MIR1122 microRNA precursor family". The record is from RNAcentral. Lineage: Eukaryota; Viridiplantae; Streptophyta; Magnoliopsida; Poales; Poaceae.
UUUUUGUUUUGUUUUCUGUUUUUAUCCUUUUCUUAUUUUCUUUUGUGUUUUAUUUAUUUUAGUUAGCAAAACAGCUUUACCAAAAUAUAACCCCUACUCCUAAAUUAGCAUAAUGACAUAGGCCACCUACUCCAAAAAGUUUGGUUAUUAUAAAAAGUAGAUUAACAUUUGCUUAGCAUUUAAAAGUAUUUAAAAUAAUUGUUUUGCUGUUGUUUUACUUACUAUAGUGCAUUUAAAUACUUUACAAAAGUGUUGUUUCUUCACCAAUAUUUAAUAUGGAUUAUUUGGCUCACUCCAAACAUUUUAGUUUUAAUAUUUAAAAACUUUUAUUGUUUGCUUGAUUUUGAAUUUGAAUUCGAACCAUUCUCGGACUAACGCGAGAUUAGCAACAGUAAUCGAGGUGACGUGGCAUCAUUAGCAGAGUUUCACUAUAGCCUAAUUAUCCGGGUGUCACAAUUCUCCUCCACUACAAGAAAUCUCAUCCCGAGAUUUAAGAGGGGAGCAAGGGGGGAAGUUCUGGUUACGAUAUGCUAACGGAUCUUCUCGAAGAAGUUAAUCCCUUUCGUUGAUGUCUUCAAUUCUUUAUUCCAAUGUAUCAUGAUGAAGUUGUCGUCCUUUCUUUGGGGAACUCCAACGUACUUACGCAUAGGUAAGGGGCAGCCCCACAACGAUAGGAUGUUAUAAGGGAGAAUCAUCUGGGGGUAUUCCAAGUGUGAUCAUAUGAGUAUCUAUCGAGUUGAACAAAUGAAACACAUCGAGAGCAAAGUAAGACGGGGCAAUAAGAAGCUUCAAUUGGAUAGGCAAUCGUUUGUUGCCUGAUGCAAAAUGUGACAGGGGUUCAGAGCAAUGGGAAAGUAUUGCGUCUGGUACCAGAAUAGAUCACUAGGCAGGUGGCCCGUGAAUCACAUACGAAGUCAAGCACGAGGAAUAACUUCGACAACAGGGUGUAUAGGAGAGUCAGGUUUUGAUCCUGUGGACCUGUGGGUUAUGGGCCCACCAUGUGGGUUGAAAGUAGGAAGGGUGGUGACAACUUGCACAGCUGCGACAGGGAGGCAUGUCAGUGAAUAGCUUGCCAGCUAUGCCGGCAACAAUGUUGGUACCAAGGACGGGGAACGAAGAGAGCAAUUUUCCUACUCGUUGAACGAGGCGGACCAAUAGGCAAAGUUCUCGUCCAUCGGUGGUUACCGGAAUGCUAUCAAAAGAAACAGGGCCUUACUGACACGGUUGUACACCAAGGUGUUUUACAUAAGCAAAAGAAUACUACUGCUUAUAUAAUAUAGAUCACAAGAAGGGUUAUGCAAACCAAUGGAAAGGAAAGGUGAUUACCAGGUUUAAUCAGAACAAUGGGGAGGAAAAUGUGUAUACACACAUAUUUCAGGGGUAUAUCCUUCCCAAGGACAAGCGGGGCAUGAUAUCCAUGACAGGAUAGAGAGUAGAGAACCAUUGAGGUAAAGGGAGAGGAAUUUCAUGACGUUACCCGUACAACGGUGUUUGGAUAAUUGAUAAAGAGAAUUUAGCAUUGUGCUUCAAAUGUUCUUGUUGAUGAACGGAGUACCACAGACAUGCUUCGAGAUAGCAUUGACAUGGUCUUCAAGCAAAGGUCAGACUUUGGAUACACAAAGGAUCCAUCAGGAUAAACUUAUUAAACAAGGCAUUCAAUUUCCUCAUGGAAAAAUGGUUAACCUUGCUAAAAGGAAACUAUAACAAUAAGUCCUCCGGCUAGGCGUGCUAAGCAUGACAUCACCUUACCGGGUCAUAUAAGGACCAACGUUAUUACUCUUGGAAAUAUGUUUCAGCCAUCAUAUCUGACCGAGAUUCAGAUAUGACUGGUGUCAGGAUACCUCAAACUCAUGAUGUCUGAGAAGGAAGGGAUGCAACACAAUUUGACGAGAAGGCAUUGCAAGAUUCUCAGUAAAUGAACUAUGGAAGCAAGUUUCGAAUCAUGAGUUCAUCAUUAAACAAGGAGAAGAUGAGGAUGUGGCUGAGGGACUCAGCGACAGAUUAUCGAGAAUUCCAACAAGAUGGAUUUCCACAAUUAUGUAAACCAGGAGAUAACAUUUGUCAUAUCAAAUGAUAUAAUGAUGUAUACUCGAGGAAAACAUACACAAUUAAACAUUGGUUGAAAGGUGCGCCCAAAAAUGGGUUGGGUUGCACGACCAAUGUCAGAAUGGCGAUUCAAUAAUCAAUAGUCUAAGAAUGAACGACCGACCAUUAACUUCAAAGCAAUAGGGUUGCUAGAAGUGCAGAAUCCAAACAGCACUGUUCACUUGUUGGUACCCCGAUUGGAAUCAACACGAGGACCAAGAAAGAAUGGUGAUGGUGAGAAGUAUCACUAUACCAAGAAUUCUUAAGAGGUGCUGAAAUUCCCAUGACAUUCUUGACAUAAAAGGUGGUAAUACUCCAAGGUAAAGGAGAAGAAAUACUGGAUAGCAAGGAUCUCAAGGUACAACACAAAACAUGAACAAGUUUGUGUUGAAGGUAAAGCAAGAAAGUUGACGAUGAUAACACAAAUCAUCGAGGGGCAAGGAUGGUAUUUCUCAUCAUGAAUACAAUUGAUAUCUUGGAGGAACUCAGAAUGUUGAUGAUGAUCAUAACAAAUUUUGUCGAGAGGUUUCAUGCAGAUGUAAUCGGCCAUCGACGACAUCAAGCAAAAGGAAGGGUGGAACGAAAAGUUAUUGAAACCACAGAUACGACACAAACUCGGAAUCAAGCUUGUUGCUUGAGGUGAAACGGUAAGACAAGGAAGAUCGACGUAAGCUUAGCUCAUCAUCGAAAGUUGUGCUUCAGAAAGAAGGACCAGAUAGCACAGUUAAAAAGUUGCACGAUAAUGAUAUAGCCGAUAAGGCUAGGAAUGACUUGAAGGAUUAAAAUCAUAAGCAACAAAAAUUACUUAAGAGUUACCGUACCAGAACGGGAAUUGGUUCACAUAUCGGUGUUCUUGAGCGACUAACAACUCAGAACCCAUGAAAAAUUGGAAUCGGUGAGAAAUAAUAGCUGAUGAGAAACUCAUAGAUGCAACACAGUUCUUAGAUAUUCUCGAGAUACCAUAGGGUAAUACUCGACAGUAAAUCAAAGUAGAGGUUGGACUGGUGUAUUGACUAGCAAAAGAAAAGUGCUUUAACUUGUCCUAGAAAUGGGGUCAAAGAAGAACAAUCAAGGUCGGAACCACGGUUGCAAAGGAUCAAUUCACCGAUACCAAGGGAUAUUAUAUCAAAGAAAUAGUUAUUAUUACAAGAAGCUUCCAUGAUAGGAUCUACAUCGGGUCCAUGGGCAUGAACACAGAGGUUCAAGGUCGACUCCCACUUCUCCAAAGCACAACCUUACAUUCACUUCUCGUUUUGAUAAAGGCAUUAGUGUUGAAAGUUUUACCUGGUGAAAUACCAGAUGAGUAUGACUCAUGAAAACUUCCGAGUUCACACAUAUUAAGGAAGGCAUAGGUUCAACCCAUAAGGGAAUCUUAGGAACAUAUACCACAAACUACAGGAGCAAAUAACUCCAGCUCGGAAGAAGAGCAUGGUUGGCCAAAUCGGAGAAUAUGAUUUACGAAUGGCAUUACGUAUCAUAGAAAGAACUUCUUGAGGUUUUGUAUAUGAAGGACACUGUCGGAUGAUAAUUCAACAAAGGAUCUGACGGUCCAUAAUAGGGCUGAUGUGAGCAUCGGCACACAACAGAGGAAGAAAACAGUGCAAGGACAUUGGAUUAUAGAAACAACUGACUAAUUCAAACUUAAUGCAAAGAAUUUUAUGAUUUCCAAAUUAAGGGAUCAGAAGCAAUCGUUCUUAUCAAAAAUGAAUAAGGUCGAUAGACUUAGAAGCACAACCGAUCAAGGCAUUGAUUGGUCUAGAACCAGCUCAUGUUUAAAAUGACAUCUGAGCCGGAAGAAUGUCUAUGAUUUGAUUAAGGAUUGCGAGCAUACGCAAAAUAAUAAAUCAAGGGGAUCAAAAUGAUAGUAACAAAGGAUGUCAAUGGAGAUUGCUAGAAAUAUGGAAUUAACCAUAGUACCGAAAGGCAAGGAAUUCAAGAGAAAUAGGCUCCUAAGGAUUUUUAGAAAACCGAAUAGUAUCCUAAAGAAUUUUGUGAAACACAAAAACAACUAGGAAUGAAGAUAUUCUCGAUAAGUGUGAGAAUUUAUGUGUCGGUGUAAUCAUGCGGAAAAGAGCUGCAAGGCAGUAAGCACGAAGGAUUCUCGGAAUAGUGGGAAGUAGUUCAGGGUAUCUUGUAGUAACAAGAGUAAUCGAGAAUGAAGGUAAGGGUGGCAAGUAUAAGUAGUUAUCCAUAGGGAUGUCUUGGUCGUAGGGUUGCAAACCCGAUGAGGACAAGUUCUCGAAAGAACAUCACAGAGUAUCUUCAGAAUCUUCUGGUGCAGCAGGCGAUCAUCUGGAGUGAGGGGCUCUCCGGGAGAACUAUUUUCGAGAACCUAAAGUUAGUCUUUUUUUAGCAAAAUCAUUUUACCCGAAUAGAGGAGAGAUUAAAGUCCCAGAGUAUAGGUCGAGGAAUAAAAGAUCCUAAUACCACCCAAAUGGCGACGUGGGCCCAUGGGCCGCACAGCCAUGUUAGUAAAACAGUUUUGUAAUAUCUAGACUCGACUUCGGCCAAAGAGUGUGGAAGGGGGAUUCCUACAGGCAGUCGGCUCUGAUACCAACUUGUGACGCCCCCAAUUUAAUCGUACACUAAUCAUGCACGCAAACGUGUACGAUCAAGAUCAGGGACUCACGGGAAGAUAUCACAACACAACUCUAAAACAUAAAUAAGUCAUACAAGCAUCAUAUUACAAGCCAGGGGCCUUGAGGGCUCGAAUACAAGUGCUCGAUCAUAGACGAGUCAGCAGAAGCAACAAUAUCUGAGUACAGACAUAAGUUAAACAAGUUUGCCUUAAGAAGGCUAGCACAAACUGGAAUGCAGAUCGAAAGAGGCGCAGGCCUCCUGCCUGGGAUCCUCCUAACUACUCUUGGUCGUCGUCAGCGGGCUGCACGUAGUAGUAGGCACCUCCAGUGUAGUCGUCGUCGUCGACGGUGGCGUCUGGCUCCUGGGCUCCAACGUCUGGUUGCGGCAUCCGAGAAGAAGAGGAAAACAGGGGAAAAGAGGGAGCAAAGCAACCUUGAGUACUCAUCCAAAGUACUCGCAAGCAAGGAGCUACACUACAUAUGCAUGGGUAUAUGUGUAAGGAGGCAAUAUGAGGGGACUGAACUGCAGAAUGCCAGAAUAAGAGGGGGAUAGCUAGUCCUAUCAAGGACUACGCUUCUGGGAGCCUCCGUCUUGCAGCAUGUAGAAGAGAGUAGACUGAAGUCCUCCAAGUAGCAUCGCAUAGCAUAAUCCUACCCGGCGAUCCUCCCCUCGUCGCCCUGUGGAAAAGCAAUCACCGGGUUGUCUGUGGAACUUAUCAGGGUGUGUUUUAUUAAGUAUCCGGUUCUAGUUGUCAUAAGGUCAAGGUACAACUCUAGGUCAUCCUUUUACCGAGGGACACGGCUAUUCGAAUAGAUAAACUUCCCUACAGGGGUGCACCACAUAACCCAACACGCUCAAUACCAUUUGGCCGGACACACUUUCCUGGGUCAUGCCCGGCCUCGGAAGAUCAACACGUCGCAGCCCCACCUAGGCACAACAGAGAGUUCAACACGCCGGUCUAAAUCCUAUGCGCGCAGGGGUCUGGGCCCAUCGCCCAUUACACACCUGCACAUUGUGAGGGCUGCCGGAAGCAGACCUAGCCUCUCUUAUACAAGAGUAGGCGUUCCAGUCCAAUCCGGCGCGCGCCGCUCCGUCGCUGACGUCAAGAAGUCUUCGGCUGAUACCACGACGUCGAGUGCCCAUAACUGUUCCCACGUAGUUGGUUAGUGCGUAUAGGCCAGUGGCCAGACUCAGAUCAAAUACCAAGAUCUCGUUAAGCGUGUUAUUAUGAAGUAACCACGAACGCUGACCAGGGCCAGGCCCACCUCUCUCCUAGGUGGUCUCAACCUGCCCUGUCGCUCUGCCACAAAGUAACAGUCGGGGGCCGUCGGGAACCCAGGCCCACCUCUACCGGGAUGGAGCCACCUGUCCUUUCAGCCCCCUUAUCCGAAUCACUUGCGGGUACUCAACGAGCUGACCCGACUUUAGUCACCAUCUGUAUAGUAUGUAUAUAUGUAUAGUAUAUACCCGUGAUCACCUCCCAAGUGAUCACGGCCCGAUAAUACAGCAAGGCAGACCGACAAGAAUGUAGGGCCACAAAUGAUAAACUAGCAUCCUAUACUGAGUAUUUGGGAUUGCAGGUAAGGUAUCAAUAGAUAUAGCAACAAUGUCAGGCUAUGCAACAGAAUAGGAGUAACCGAAUAGUAACAUGCUACACUACUCUAAUGCAAGCAGUAUAGAGAAGAAUAGGUGAUAUCUGCUGAUCAAGGAGGGGGGGGGGCUUGCCUGGUUGCUCUGGCAAGGAGGGGUCGUCAACACCGUAGUCGAACUGGGGGGUCGCCGGCAGUCUCGGGGUCUAUCGGAAAGAAGUAACGGAGAGGAAAUACAAUAAAUAACAGAGCAAUCAAAGCAUCGCAAAGCAUAACAAGACAAUACACGGUGUUCGAUGUGCCCUAACGCGAUAGUAGGUGAUACCGGUCAAGGGGGGAAACAUCCGGGAAAGUAUCCCCGGUGUUUCGCGUUUUCGGACAGAUGAACCAGAGGGGAAAAGUUGCGUGUUUGCUACGCUAGGGAUGUGUGGCGGACGAAUGGCCUGCGUAUCCGGAUUCGUCUCGUCGUUCUGAGCAACUUUCAUGUACAAAGUUUUUCCAUCCGAGCUACGGUUUAUUUUAUAUUAAUUUUUAGAAGAUUUAAUCAUUUUUAGAAUUAACAGAAUUAACUAAAUAAGAAAAUGUAAUUAUGACGUCAGCAUGAUGUCAGGGUGAUGUCAGUGGUCAGCUUUGACCGUUGACUAGUCAAACUGGCGGGGGGUCCCACAUGUAAUAGUCUGUUUAGUUAGCAGGCUAGUUAACAGAGUUAAUUAGUUUACCUAAUGAUUAGGUUAGUCUAAACAGAAUUAAUUAAGUUAAUUUAAUUGGUUAAUUAAUUAAUUAAUAUUUUAUUUAUUUAUUUAUGCUUGAAGAUAUCUUUUUUUUUAAUUCAAACAGGGGGCAAGGCCCAUUGUUAGUGACUACCUAGGAGGGGGUUAGUGCUAAUCUAACCCCCAAUUAGCAGGGGCCUGCCUAAUCUGGUAGAGGCGCAACCGGCAGGGACUACGCCCGCGCACAGACGGGGGCGCCGGCGCGGCAGGCCGGACGGGAACGGCGGCGAGCGGCACGGCCCGGGAGCAUGAGGGACAGGCGCGGGCUGCGCAACCGGAGGGGCGGGCACGAGCGGGAAGACACGGUGCGGUAAGAGGCACGCCGCGCACGAGAGCAGAGCUCUGGCGGUGGCGACGACGCAGGAUAGGACGCGGUCCGGGCGGCCGGCGCGGGUGCGGGUGGUGGUGAGCGAGGCCAUGGCCGAAGUGGCUGAAGCAGGGGAGGAGGAGGAGUUGCCGGGGCCUCACCACGGGGCCGUGGGGUAUAGCCAGCGGUGCUCGGGGAGGAAGACGGGGACGACGUUCCGGCGAGGAGAGGGACGAGGAGGCGAGGAGGCAGUCCGGCGGUGGACGACGUCGGGCGGCGGUUCGGUGACGGAGCGGUCGAAGACAAUGGCGUCAGGCGAGGUGAUCCCAGGCGACGGCGAGCGCUGGGUGUCGGGGCGCGGUCGCGGGCGCGUCGGGUGCUGGACGGCGCGGGCGUGCGGUGAUGGGUGGGUGGUCCGGCGACGGGGUGUGGGCAGGGCGUCGCGAGAGAGAGGGGGGCGGUUUCAUCCCCGAUCCAGAUCGGAUCGAGGAAGGGAGGAGAGCGAAGUGGGGGGCGAGUGGGGGAGAUAUUUUCGGGGGAGUGCGGGGGUGUCGGUGGGGUUUUCCCCGAGUGGGGGGAUAUGGAGGAGGGCGUGGGGCGCCGGCUGGGCCGGCCUGAUUUGCCCCGAGGCCAUCUGGGCCGUGGCCCAGCGGGGUUCUCUUUUAUCCUUUUUUUAUUUGUUUUACAUUUUUGUUUUGUUUUGUGUUUUUAUCCUUUUCUUAUUUUCUUUUCUGUUUUCUUUAUUUUAGUUAGCAAAACAGCUUUACCAAAAUAUAACCCCUACUCCUAAAUUAGCAUAAUGACAUAGGCCACCUACUCCAAAAAGUUUGGUUAUUAUAAAAGUUUAACAUUUGCUUAGCAUUUAAAAGUAUUUAAAAUAAUUGUUUUGCUGCUGUUUUACUUACUAUAGUGCAUUUAAAUACUUUACAAAAGUGUGGUUUCUUCACCAAUAUUUAAUAUGGAUUAUUUGGCUCACUCCAAACAUUUUAGUUUUAAUAUUUAAAAACUUUUAUUGUUUGCUUGAUUUUGAAUUUGAAUUCGAACCGUUCUCGGACUAACGCGAGAUUAGCAACAGUAAUCGAGGUGAUGUGGCAUCAUUAGUAGAGUUUCACUGUAGCCUAAUUAUCCGGGCGUCACAGAACUUUCCGAAACCAUUCCUGUGUCCGAACAUAGUCAUCCAAUAUAUCGAUCUUUACGUAUCGACCAUUUCGAGACUCCUCGUUAUGUCCGUGAUCAUAUCCCGGACUCUGAACUAUCUUCGGUACAUCAAAACACAAAUACUCAUAAUACCAAUCGUCACCAAACUUUAAGCGUGUGGACCCUACGGGUUCGAGAACUAUGUAGACAUGACCGAGACUCGUUUCCGGUCAAUAACCAAUAGCGGAACCUGGAUGCUCAUAUUGGUUCUCACAUAUUCUACGAAGAUCUUUAUCGGUCAAACCGCAUAACUACAUACAUUGUUCCCUUUGUCAUCGGUAUGUUACUUGCCCGAGAUUCGAUCGUAGGUAUCUCAAUAGCUAGUUCAAUCUCGUUACCGGCAAGUCUCUUUACUCGUUAUGUAAUGCAUCACCCCGUAACUAACUCAUUAGUCACAUUGCUUGCAAGGCUUAUAGUGAUGUGCAUUACCGAGAGGGCCCACAGAUACCUCCCCGACAAUUGGAGUGAAAAAUCCUAAUCUCGAAAUACGCCAACUCAACAAAUACCUUCGGAGACACUUGUAGAGCUCCUUUAUAAUCACCCAGUUACGUUGUGAUGUUUGGUAGCACACAAAGUGUUCCUCCAGUAAACGGGAGUUGCAUAAUCUCAUAGUCAUAGGAACAUGUAUAAGUCAUGAAGAAAGCAAUAGCAACAUACUAAACCAUCAAGUGCUAAGCUAACAUAAUGGGUUAAGUCAAUCACAUCAUUCUCCUAAUGAUGUGAUCCCGUUAAUCAAAUGACAACUCAUGUUAUGGCUAGGAAACUCAACCAUCUUUGAUCAACGAGUUAGUCAAGUAGAGGCAUACUAGUGACACUAUGUUUGUCUAUGUAUUCACACAUGUAUUAUGUUUCCGGUUAAUACAAUUCUAGCAUGAAUAAUAAACAUUUAUCAUGAUAUGAGGAAAUAAAUAAUAACUUUAUUAUUGCCUCUAGGGCAUAUUUCCUUCACUCCUUGUGCGCGGGAAGCUUGAAGUAGACAAAGAAGUCUUCCGGGUCAUGGCUCGUCACGCGCAGCAGGUGGGGCGGGGAGCAGAGCUGCUCCUCGAUGGACCGGCCCACCGACAUGGGGUUGGCCGCAUGGCGGGCCGUCGAGGCCGUGACCAGCACGGCGUGCUUGCGAAAGAGGAACUCCUGCUGCUCGAUGGCCGGCGUGCUGAUCACCAUCUUGAAGCUCGACCUGGAGUGGCGCGACGCGUCUGUGUGGAGCGCCUGACGGUCCAUGGCAGUCAUGGCAGGUGGCGACGGCGGGGGCGGCGGAGUCUACGAAGGAAAAUGCAGCCGACCGUGAAAAGGGUCGCGCUGCGGAUGACGGAUCGGGCAGCCGGCGCGCCCCUUGCACUUGGGGUAGCGGGCACUCACGACCGUAGUGCCCCGACUGCUUGUAGAUUAUGCAGUGCAGCGGGUCGCGGCAAUCUAUCCUACGGUGGCUGGAGUUGAGGCACCGAAAAUAGAGCAUGUUGAAGCGGCUUAAGAAGGCCUCCUUCCCCCCACGGCCAUUAAUGGCGGAGCGCCGGCCAAAUCGCUUGGCGGAGGGGCGCCCAGCGCCAUUCGCCGCCUUAAUGGUUGUGCGCCGGUCUUUCCGCGACUUGACCGUCAUCCACCUAUCUCCAUCGCCCGAAGAGGGAAAGCGCGGGGCAGGGGACGACAUUACCACAAUGGAUUUCAGCUUGUUCUUCCCUAAACGAGGGGGCUCGGCUGGGACCGCAGAGGAAAACGCAGGAGCCGCCUUGGAGCACUCCCCCCGCAACAGAAAUCGCGCCGGGAGCGCGGGACUGACCGUAGCCGACGGCUGAGGCGGCUGGGAGUCCGGGACCUGCGACGGACCGGUGGAUCUGGCCAGAUCCGGCGCGGAAGCGGGGGUGCCCAGCCAGAGGCCCCGCUGGCAGUCGAGCGCGCCGAGCGAUCCGAGCGGGCGAGGGAGGGCGCGAACGCAUGGCCGCAGAGAGGUGGCGCCCCUGCCCGGGCGGGCAGGAACGGGGCUUGGUGGCCGCCGCGGCCGGAGUGGCCAGGGGCGCGAGGAGGAGAGGUCCGGUCACAAGAGCUCCGCCCUACCCCAAGGACAGAAGUAAAGUCCGUCGGUCUUUAGCUGACAUGUCAUUAAUAGAUUAUGUGGUUAACUCAUAUAAUCUUUUUUCCGAUUGAUUGUGGGUUUUUCUCUUCUUUCUUUUGUGUCUUACAUUUAGUUGGCACCCUGAACUAGUCGACUUACUUUUUUUUUCACUAAAUAGUACUCCCAUUUAGUUGGUUGUGUGUAUCAUAAUGAUGUAGAGGCCGACUUCUCCCAUUUUCAAAAACACACACACACAUAGAGGCUAAAUUCCUAACGCACACAGGGAGUUUAGUUGAUAUAUUAAUCAGCUAUUAACAUCUUGUUCUUAAUCUAAUCAUACAAGUUAUGGUUGCCCCGUUCCGUGUUAAAACUUUCAAAAAUGAUGGUUCAUGAGAGUUAGGAAGCAUAUGAGGCGUGCUUCCCAAGAUAUGCCGCUUCUCAUUUUCUGAGCAUUGAAUCAUUGCCAAUUCGGACGGAUGAAAAUUGACAAAAUUAUAUCUCUCGGGUCUAUGACAUGUACACCGGUUGCCUCACAUUUUUAUUUUGUUUUUAGUUGCAUUGUCAUUUUCAUUCUUUCUUUUGCGGAGAACAUUCGCAAUUUAAUUACAGUGACUUAUGAGUGAGCUUGCCGGUAUCCCUACUACUGGUUUGCAUAGGGAUGAACUUAUAAUAUGCCAUUUCCUCCUGCAAAAAUAAAAAAAGAAGACAUUGUGGGGCCAGUCCCGUGGAUUCAUAACUGACAUCGAGGUAGCCUAAUCUCACGGACACAAACACGACACGAGGGCGAGGCCCUCCCGCCGUUCCUGCUACCUACCCAGUGGAUCUUUACUCCUCGUUCAUAGGCAUAGAUAGCCGAGGGCCGACGCAACCAUCGACGCGGAAGCAGAGGACGCGCCCACCCCAGAGCCGCAGACCCCCAAACCGAACCCGGCCGAGGGAGGGAGGAGGGGGCGAUGGGGUCCGUCGCCGACGACGCGGAGGAGGUGAGCACCGUGGGGGAGGCCUCGCGGAUGGUGUGGGACGAGUCGAAGCGCCUCUGGGGCAUCGGCACGCCCAUCGCCAUCGCCACGCUCAGCAUGUACGCCGUCAGCUCCGUCACCACCAUCUUCGUUGGCCACCUCGGCAACCUGCCCCUCGCCGCCGCGUCCAUCGGCCUCUCCGUCUUCGGCACCUUCGCCCUCGGAUUCCUGGUACGUGCGCUAACGCCAGCAUCCAUCUCCUCUUCUCUCCAGCACGGCGGCACCGCACUGCAUAGUGCAUACCAUUGCUGUCUGCUGAUAGUAAUAUCUAAUAUGUUGCAGCUCGGCAUGGGGAGCGCGCUGGAGACGCUGUGCGGGCAGGCGUUCGGCGCCGGCCAGGUGGCCAUGCUCGGCGUCUACCUGCAGCGCUCCUGGAUCGUCCUCAUCGGCGCCGCGCUCCUCAUGGUGCCCUUCUACGUCUUCGCCGAGCCGCUGCUGCUCGCCCUCGGCCAGGACCCCGAAGUCGCGCGCGAGGCCGCCCGCUUCGCGCUCUACAUCCUGCCCGGUGCCUUCUCCUUCGCCGUCAACUUCCCCACCGCCAAGUUCCUCCAGGCGCAGAGCAAGGUCCUCGUGCUCGCCUGGAUCGGCAUCGGCGGCCUCUGCUUCCACGUCGUGGUCACCUACCUCCUCGUCACCGUCCUCGGAUGGGGCUACCCAGGCGCCGCCGUCGCCUACGACCUGUCGCUCUGGGCCAUCGCGCUGGGCCAGUCGGCUUACAUCAUCGGCUGGUGCAAGGACGGCUGGAGGGGCUGGUCCAUGGCGGCAUUCAACGAUAUGUGGGCCUUCGUCAAGCUCUCGCUCGAGUCCGCCGUCAUGCUCUGCCUUGAGAUUUGGUACCUCGGCAUGAUCACCGUCCUCACCGGCGACCUCCAGGAUGCGCAGAUUGCCGUCGACUCGCUUGGCGUCUGGUACUUCUUACUACCAAAAUUACAACCUGAUAACAUUCUCAACUCUCUUUCGAAUAUUCUGAACCAACUGAAGAUACUAUAGUACUUAGCUCACAGAAUAUUUGUGCCUUAAUUUUCAGCAUGAAUAUAAACGGAUGGGAGGGUAUGAUCUUCAUUGGCCUCAAUGCUGCUAUCAGGUCAGGCUAAUUCAAAUUUCAAAACUGUAGAAUUAAACCGGUGAUUCUUGUUUUCUUCAGGAAAUCUUGAACGACUGAACUGAACUUAUCAAAUUUCACUUUCUAAACUAUUACCACACGUUCUCAGUGUUCGAGUCUCCAAUGAGCUGGGCUCUGGCCGUCCAAGGGCGGCGAUGCACGCCGUCAUCGUUGUCAUCGGCGAGUCGUUGCUCAUUGGGCUGGUAUGCAUGGCCCUCGUGUUGAUCUUCAGAGAUAACUUCGCAAGCAUAUACACUAGCGACGUGGAGCUCCGGCAGGCCGUCUCCAAGAUUGCAGGACUGCUUGGCUUGACCAUGGUGCUCAACAGCGUGCAACCUGUGCUUUCAGGUAUGCUUCUCCCACUCGCAGCAUGAUAAUUUUAUUUUGUUCAUGCCACCUCAACCUCAUCUCUCGAGCUGACGACGUUGAUCGGAUGCAUGAUUCAGGGGUGGCCAUUGGAGGAGGAUGGCAAGGCCUUGUUGCAUACAUCAACCUUGGCUGCUACUACAUUUUCGGAUUGCCAUUGGGAUAUCUCCUCGGCUACAAGUUCAAUUAUGGAGUUGGGGUAAUUGAUUAUGUUGUUUAAAUUGGAGCACUGCAAAUUGCAAAAUAGAAAAUGAAGUAUAUUUAUGCUAUGAUUCUGCGACAUCGGUUGUGAAUUUGAGACAUUGGUUCUAAUUUCAGGGGAUUUGGGCUGGCAUGCUUUGCGGGGUUGCACUUCAGACAUUGAUUUUACUCGUCAUAGUGUGGAGAACAGAUUGGAACGCAGAGGUAUGAAAUUCCUUCGCCCUUCCAAAUUCCACCAUGUUUUUCAUUUUGUGAUGAACACAACUUUUAAAAAGUCAACUGGAGGAUGCUAGUUCGUCUUUAUAAUAACUAAGUAUUCAUAGGCACCAAUUUAAUAACUCAAUGUUAGUUCAUCCUUAUAAUAGCUAGAUGUUCAUUAGGAAUCAAUUUAAUAACUUUGGAUAUAGGAACAGAGGGCAUAAAACCUUUCCAAUCUUGAGUAAGCACUUAUCAUUUUUUUUCUUUGAAAAGGUGGACCAACCCUGGCAUCUGCAUCGGUUGAUGCACACAGUCAUAUAAUAUUAGUUAUUCAACAAUGCCUAGCAAAGCCUAUCAACGAUGUCGAACGAAUCAACUUUUAAAAAAGACCGAGGCCAUCCAUAGAAGGACCCACCUCACAACAACAUCUCCCCAAACCUACAACAAAGCCUAUGGCAUGUGUUCAAACAACGAACAAAAACACUACCCCUAGAGGAAGCCUUCAGUAAGGAAUCACAACACACGCGUCGAUGUCGACGGAUCCAACCAAAGGUUGCAUGUUGGGAUUUCAUCCUCUAAUAUGAUGACCCGGAGUAUGCGCAUAAUUGUCGUCGAAUGAUGAUGACCUGGAGUAUGCACAUAAUUGUCGUUGAAUGAUGAUGACUCACAUAAUUGACAUCAACCGUUCUACCGCUGAUGAUGACUCGCUAGUUGGAUCCCGCUCUUGUGAGAUCCCAAAUACCACCCAUGCCGCUACGGAAAACAUCGGGAGCAGGAAGAUGGCCUUGGUGCCCCGCUUCUAGACACUGUCACACCGCCUUCAGUACUCAUCCAUGAGGGAGAUAGGGACACUCGACGUUGGGUUACAACCAUAUCAUACGACUUAUGACUUCUUUUUUCAAUUGUUUGAUUUCAGAAAUAUUUAUGUAAACGCUAUUUACAUGGAAAAUGUUGAGCUUUCCAUCUUGCUCAUCUCUCAUACCCUACAAUUGCAGGCUGCGCUAGCUUCAAGCCGCGUCCGAAAGUGGGGUGGCACCGAAGCAACCAAACCUCUCCUGGAAGAGAAUUAGAUCACAUAAGCAUUUGUUUAUCUCCCUCUUUAUUCUUUGACGCUGUUCGUCUUUGUACUGAUCACACCAUAUACCAUGGAAAUUCUUCGAGUAUCAGUAGGGUAUGGAAACCAGGUUGAAUAACUACUCAUUUUUUUGAGCCUGAAUAGUGGAAACCAUAGGAGUAUAUGUCUUGCAUCGUUAUGAGCCUGAAUAGUGUACGCAUUUUUGUAUGCGGGUGCCAGAAGUUUGUUCUAUUAUCUGAAAGAAUUAUCAUGAGCGGAACCGAACUAUUGCCUGCUAAAAUGUUGCUUGUGUUUAAAUAAGAAAAGGCACGGCAACGCUCUCCAAUGGGCAGACCAAAAACGCAGUCACUUGGUAAAAAACAGACUUUUUAGGGUAUUUCUUUUUGGGAAAAAUGGCUUCAACGGCAUACCAAACUUUUAUAGACUAUAGGAUUGAGAAAUAUGGGUCAGGAUGGGAACGGGCCUAUUGGAUAAAACAACAAUUAGUAUUCACUGAGGGUCAAAGGCCAUUACAUAUACAUGUGUGGUAAAGUGCAGGAAACCCCUUAUACAAUGGGGAUGUACCGAAAAGGGACUAUACACAUCUAACACACACACACACACCCUCCCCCCCUCUCAAACUCAUGGUGGAUCAACAACACUGAAUUUGGAGAGAAGAAAACUAUGUUGCGCUCGAGUCUGUGCCUCCGUGAAGAAGUCCGCCAACUGUAACUCAGAGGGCACAUAGUGAAGAGCGAGAGUCUGAUCUUGCACAGCAGCACACACAAAGUGGGCAUCCACGCCGAUGUGCUUGGUGAGCUCAUGCUUCACCGGGUCACGCGCAAUACUGAUAGCACCGGUACUGUCUGACAGUAAGGGAGUCGAGGUAGUAGCAGACACACCAAAAUCCUCAAGUAACCACCGUAACCAGAUCACCUCAGCCGUCAACAUAGCCAUGGCUCACAACUCAGCCUGUGUACUCGAGCGAGAAACUGCAGUCUGUUUCUUUCUCUUCCAGGCAAUGAGAGAGCCAUCAAGAAAGACACAGUAAGCAGACAGCGGGCGUCGAUCAGAGGGAUCACUAGCCCAAGUAGCAUCAGAGUAGGCCUGGAGCUCGGAGUUCAUGGCGUGCUGCUGCAGCCAUGAAGGCUUCGUCGCCCCAAGUGGUCCGUCCCCGGUGACGGCGAAGCUCGAUCUGAGGGGAAGCUGUGUUGGACCCAAUUGCAGUUCUAUCUUAGAGUCUGGGGUCCUCCUUGUUAAAGUCAGGGGCCUGUGUGUGAUUUCUCUUUCUUUUGAGUCCUUAUCUGAGCUUUGUACUGUAAUGACCAGGAAUCAAUGAGGCUCUCUAGGUCCUUUGGGACCUAGUUUCUGUUCAAAAAAAAGUAGGCCUGGAGCUCGAGAGAGCUGGAGCGGGGGGAGAAAAGGCGAUGAGAGAUCGUGCCACAAAGAUAUCAUAGAACACGGAGGAGAUGACUAUAGUGGACAGAGGUGGGUGCUGAAACAAGCUGACUCAGGAUGUGAACAUGAUAGGAGAUGUCGGGAUGCGUAAUAGCAAGGUAGACAAGGCUGCCAAUAAGGUGACGAUAGCGAGUAGGAUUAGGAAGAGGGUCACCGUCAGAGGCACGAAGCUGAACGUUGAGCUCCAUAGGAGUCACAACAGUGCGCUCAUCACCAAGAGCGGCACGAGCAAGAAGAUCAUGUAUAUAUUUUUCCUGUGAGAUGUAGAAGCCAUCAGAGAUCGAGAAGAUCUCAAUCCCAAGAAAGUAUCAAGUGGACCAAGGUCAGACAUGAGGAACUGGUCGCGAAGGCGUGCCUUAACAAAGGCAGUAAGAGUCAUCACCAGUGAUGGUCAUGUCAUCAACAUAGAGAAGGAGAAGAGUCCGACCACGAGGAGACGUGUGAACAAAUAAUGCGGGAUCAUGAUCACUGGGCAAGAAACCAGUGGCAGUCACCACAGAGGCGAAACGCUCGAACCAGUCGUAAGGGGCCUACCAUAGAGGGAGCAACGAAGUCUACAGACCAUACCAUCAGGAGCAUAGUACCCCGGUGGUGGCUGCAUAUAAACCUCCUCACGCAACUCGCCAUUGAGAAAGGCGUUCUGUACAUCAAGUUGAGAGAUAGACCAAUGACGAAUAGAACCCACAGCAAGGAGAGUGCGGACAGUGGUCAUGUGGGCCACAGGAGCAAAUGUCUCGUCAUAAUGGCGUCCCUGCUCCUGCUGAAAACCACGAUCCACAAGCCGAGCUUUGUAGUGCUCAAGAGAACCAUCGGAGCGAGUCUUAAUCUUGUAGACCCACUUGCAGGUGAUGGGACGAACACCGGAAGGAAGGGAAACCAGAUCCCAUGUGCCAGAGCGCUCAAGGGCAGCAAGCUCUUCGGCCAUCCCAAGCUACCAUUCAGGCUGAGUCAUGGCAGUCCGAUAGGAAGUGGGCUCAGUAGUAAUAGAGAGACCGUACCGAUCAGGAGAAUAGCGAUCAGGCAGAGGACAAGACCGAGCACGGAGGUUAUGAACCGGGGGAGGUAUGAAGGGAGGCGCACCAGAGGUGGAAGGCGCAUCAGGGGAAGCAUCCUCAGAACGACGGCGACGAGUAUAGUGGAGAGGAAAUUAUGAGAGAGGGCAACGGACUGGAGAUAAUGGUGGAGAGGUGGAUGAGGAGGAUGGGGAAGAGGGUGCCGGUGGUGAAGGGGAAUGGAUGAGAGGUGCCAGAGGAAGAGGUGAAACAUGAGGCACAUAGCAGGGUGAAUCGGGAAGGAGAAGAAAAGAAAUCUCGUCCAUGGAGAAGCUUGAGGAAGAAGGAUGUGGGAAGUAAGAGCGAGACUCGUCAAAUGUCACGUCACGCGAGAUGCGCAAGCGACGGCCGACAGGAUCCCAACAACGAUAGCCCUUGUGCUCGUCACUGUAGCAAAGGAAAACACACUCAACCGACUGAGCAGUCAGUUUGGUGCGCUCGCGUGGGGCAAGAAGGACAUAGCACACACAUCCAAACAUACGAAGAGCUGAGUAGUCAGGAGAGCGACCAGUGAGACACUCCAUAGGAAUACCAUCCUGCAGAGCAGUCUAUGGCUGGAUGUUGAUGAGAUAGGUGGAUGCAGAAACAGCCUCAGCCCAAAAGUGGGGUGGAAGGGAGGCGGCAAUCAUCGGCGCACGAGCCGUCUCAAGCAGAUGAUGAUGCUUACGUUCUGCAACACCAUUCUGAGCAUGAGCACCAGGAUAUGAGAACUGGGCAAGGGUACCAUGUUCUGCGAGAAAACCACGCAACAGCUGGGAGAUAUACUCUCCAGCGGAGUCAGCACGAAAAAUAUGAAUAGGCGUGGAAAACUGGCUGUGAACCAUGGCAGCAAAUCGUUUGUGUAUAGAGAGAACCUCACUACGAGAUUUCAUGAAGUAGAGCCAAGUGUAGCGAGAGAAAUCAUCAAUAAACAAAACAUAGUAGCGAUGACCACCUUUCGAAUCAAACGGAGCAGGACCCCAGACAUCAGAGUGAACUAAGUCAAAAGGAUGCUGAGAUACCGACUGACUGGUAGGAUAAGGUAAUUGGGUCUAUUUUCCAAGUCUACAACCAUUACAAUGUAAAGAAACAUCUCCAGAUACAGACCCAAAGAGGCCCUGACGCACUAAUGAAGACAAGCGAGAGCCACAAAUGUAACUAAGGCGAUGUUGCCACUGCUGAAAGGACGCAGACGAAGAGCCAACAAGAGCAUGAGAGCUGACUGAAGUGGUGGCAGCGGAAGGAACACAAAGCCAGUCAACUUCCCAAAGGCCCUCUAACUCACGGCGCCGGGGGCGAGGACCAACCAAAACCUUGGUGCGGCGAUCCUGAAUGGAACAAGAGUCGAUAUCAAGAAUGACAUGACAACCAGAAUCAGUAAGUUGGGCAGCGGAAAAGAGAUUCAUGGUAAGGCUAGGAACAUGGAAAACACUAGGAACAGAAAAGGAUGGAGUGGAAAGAAUACCACGACUAGCAACAGGAAGAGAUGUGCUAUUGGCAGUAAGAAUAUUAAUAGGAGAAUCAAGAGGGUGAAGAGAAGACAACGCUAAAGAAUCAGAGGACAUAUGAAAUGAAGCUCCAGAGUCCAGAACCCACGAAGAUGUACCUGAUGAUGUAGAUGCCGACGGUGAUGAAGUGGUGGAAGCAGUCACAGCAGCAGCAGAACCCGUCGAUGAAGAACCAGAGGAAGCCAAAAGGCGCUUGAGCCGCACAAUGUCCUGGUUAAUGAGUGACGGAGUCGAUGACGACACAGGGGUCCCAGUGAAAGGGGAGCGCCUCUGGUUUCGCUGCUUCUGACGACAAUCAGACUCUGGGUGACCUGGCCUGAAGCAGUAGUCAUAGAAGGUGUCACGGCGCGACUGGCCCUUCUCAACAUAAGAAGGGCGACCCCCCCUGAAGGUGUGGGCAGGAGUGGUGGAGCAGUGAGACGAGCAUACGACACAGGAGCUCGAGCGGACAACACAGAAGGAACCGCAAGCAACCCAGCUUAACGAAGGUGGGUCUCCUCCGCACGAAGCUCAGCAAGUACCUCCGAGAUAGGAACACGGCCACGGGCAAGCAAGUGAGCACGUCGGGGCUCAAACUCGGAGAGGAGGCGAGAUAAGAACUCAUGGACACGCUGAAACUCCAAGUCAGACCGCGUAGUCUGACAGCAACGGCAAGUCCCACAAACAAUUGUCCGGAGAGAGUCAAGCUGACACCAGAUGGCAGAUCACUGUGAAUAGAACUCAUCAACAGAAGAAUCACCUUGCUGGAGUGCAUGCUCCUGACGCACCACAUAUAGGUAGAGAGCAUCACCAGAGAGCUGAUAGCGUUGACAGAGAUAAGAUCACAUCGCUGCAACUGUGCCAAGUCCCAUGAACCCCGAAGCAAACUGAGGGAGGACACUCGCAGUGAGAACAACAGCAGCUCGAGCAUCAUCAUUGCACCACUGAGUGUAAGCAGACAGAUCAUCGUGGUACAUAGAAAGAGCAUCUGAAUAGGUUGAUACCUGUUGAUCAUAAGCAUCAACCGCAGCAUCAUCUAGAGCCUUGGUUGCAUCUCCGUCAGCUUGUGAAGCAUCAGCAGCAAGUACCGGCGGCACCGAUGGGAUUGGGGCCACUGGCGCAACAGGGCAUGACGGACAAGGGACCUCGCCAGAGAGAACACCCCACAAAAGAAGACCACGCAUAUGGAUGCGCAUGAAGCCCACAAACUUAGCGUAGUUGGUGCCAUCGAAGGUCACAGAACACCAAAAAACAACAACAUAGCCCGAAGAAGACAUGAUGAGCUUUUUGUCUUUUUUUAAGUCAACUGCCUCAAGGACCCGAUUUGGAUCGAGAGAAGCGGGCAGGUGUGCCCGCGCUCACGCCCGAGGCAGGAUCGAGAGGCGCGGUCGCCCGAGCACCAGCAGCCUAGGCUGUGGAUCAGGAGCAGCCAGCCUGGGCAGCUCCGGACCAAGGCGCGGCCGAACAAAGCAACAGCCGCAUCAGCCGGACGGGGCAGGCGGACUAGGCGGCGGUCAGACGGGUCGGACUGGGCGGCGGCCAGGCGGAGCAGGCCGGACGGGGCUGCGUCCGGACGAAGCAGGCCAGACGGGGCGGUGGCCGGGCGGAGUGGGCGGUGGCCGGACGGAGCGGCGGCUGGACGGUGCGCUGCCGAACGGAACGGAGGCAGCAGUAGCUGGACGGGACAGCGGCCGGACGGAGAAGCAGCAGAGCCAAGCCGGGAACUGGGGAGGAGGCGGCCGGAGAUGCAGCGACCCGAUAGCCGGAGACAGGCAAGCUAGGAACGAGACGCACGGAGUUGCAUCAUGCGGAAAGAAGGGGCUAGCCUAACAUGUGAUACCAUGUUGGAUAAAACAGCAACUAGUAUUCACUGAGGGCCAAAGGCCAUUACAUAUACAUGUGUGGUAAAGUAUAGGAAACCCCUUAUACUAUGGGGAUGUACCGAAAAGGGACUAUACACAUCUAACAGGGCCGAUCCGGACCUGGCCAUGGACCCGGCCCCUGUGGCCCCAAUGCCAAUUUGAGAGGCAAUUGAUCGACCCAUAUAAAAAAUAGUCAAUGGCCUCGUUGGCCCGAUGGGUAUUUCCGAUAGACCCAAAUUUUUUCUUUACAUUGUCAUGUGGAUAAACGAGAUGUUAAAAUUAGACACGAUUUAUAAUAGAAUCCAACUAGUGUAAUAACUAAUAAGAUUACUAAUACGUGGUUAACAGAAAUGUUAGAACAUAAGCAGAGCUAAGAAUGUAUCACACACUGUAUUCCUUCACCUGGGGUUACAAAUAAGUAACAGUACAAGAAAGAGAGAGAAUACGCCGUCACAGCGAGUACCAAACGGUCCACUUGGGGAUCCUAUAUCUAAGGAGGACGAGGUGGUGCACCUGGUACACUGCCCUAUAUGCUACUCCCUUCGUUCUUGAAAGAAUGUAUUUCCAACUUUAUUGAAGGGAUAAAAUAUCUUAAAGUUUGACCGAGUUUGUGCAAAUAUAUGUCAAUGCUUGUGAAACCAAAUAGGUAUAUGACAAAAAUAUAUUUUAUCAUGAAUCUAAUGUUACUAAUUUGAUGGCAUAAAUGUUGGUCUAUUAUUGUAAAAAUACGGUUAAACAUAAAAAACUUUGACUUUUCAACAAAGUUGAAAAUACACUCUUUCAAGGACGGAGGAAGUAGCCAGUAGGAUGCGGCACAAGAAAUUUCUAACAAGAAAAGAAAAUCAAACGGUCAACUUGUGAUUUUAUACGUGCAUGAAGUAUAUCAAUUGCCGAAAAUUAUACGACAGAGACUACGUCGCAAAAUCGUUUCCUACCGAAACACCAACUCGACGAAGAUUACAGCUAGUGUGAGGUAUAAGACUAUAGGAUGGGCCGACACGGCUGAUCCAACGGGUCACCCGGUGCCGGCCCUAUUGACCCAAAUCUCAUUUGAGACCGACCCACAUGAUCCAUUGGCCUCGAAUUUUUGGGUUGGGUCAGCGAACCGGCGGGCCGACACGGCCCAUUCCUAUCCUGAAAUAUGGGUCUCCAACAGAUGCAAACCAAAAACACAAAACACACUCAGGGAACCCCAUCCACCUGGAAUUUCAUCGCGGCCGCCCCUCCCCACCUUGCCUCAACCAGGCCACCGCCUCCGUCAUUCUGUUGUCCGGCUCGAGCCCCGCUGAGGGAGUCCCGGAUUAGGGGGUGUCCGGAUGACCGGACUAUGACCUUUGGCCGGACUCCCGGACUAUGAAGAUACAAGAUUGAAGACUUCGUCCCGUGUCCGGAUAGGACUUUCCUUGGCGUGGAAGGCAAGCUUGGCAAUUCGAUAUGAAGAUCUCCUCCCAUUGUAACCGACUCUGUGUAACCCUAGCCCUCUCCGGUGUCUAUAUAAACCGGAGAGUUUUAGUCCGUAGGACGAACAACAAUCAUACCAUAGGCUAGCUUCUAGGGUUUAGCCUCUCUGAUCUCGUGGUAGAUCAACUCUUGUGCUACCCAUAUCAUCAAUAUUAAUCAAGCAGGAGUAGAGUUUUACCUCCAUCGAGAGGGCCCGAACCUGGGUAAAAACAUCGUGUCCCUUGUCUCCUGUUACAAUCCGCCUAGACGCACAGUUCGGGACCCCCUACCCGAGAUCCGCCGGUUUUGACACCGACAUUGGUGCUUUCAUUGAGAGUUCCUCUGUGUCAUCACAGUCAGGAAGGAUGCCGCACCCCGUCUUUAAAGACGGCGCUGUUGCUAAAGGAGCUUUGGCUGUUGGCCAAACUCUCCGGCUAGGCAGUUUUUUGAUGACCGCCUGUUCGGCCGCCGCGCCGACGAUGACCUCUCGGGUCAUCGAAAGCAAUUUCCACAUCAGCUCGGAACUCGCCGAGCAGUUAGAUCCGAUGGAGCUCUUUUCCUUAAACGAGCUCUUGGAUCGCAUCGCCGCCCUGGGAGUCGCUACAGAUUACGGCCAGAUUGGGCUUAAACCCGAUCUGAGAGAGAUUGACUCUCCCUAGGUCACCCACCACGUUGAAGUGGUGGAGGAACAAUGCGGCAAAUCUUCACCCAUCCUAAGGACCAGAUGUGUCCGGAUUCCUGAUCCCUCCAAGCCGGACAUCCGCGGAGGGGAGGACGUCGCCCAAGCCCUGAACCUAAAGUCAGGCAGCGGGCCUGAUUCAUUGGAUAACGUCCAAGAAAACAAGCUUUCGAGUUCGGAAAUUUCUUGGCCCCUGAGUCUUAGAUCGGGCGAGGCUCCGGAUUUAAAUCCAUCCGCCCACCCAAAUAUAAGGGAUCUAUCCCAAACUCGGCAAGAGCCCAGAGAAACAGUACACCAUUACUGGGCCAGAUUCCUCCUGGUUAUGAACAGGAUAUAGGACUGUCGCGAGAGGGAUGCAAUUUCAUUCUUCUGUAACAACUGCAGGGACAUCGGAAUCCUCAACGCCAUAAGUCGCCGCGAAAUUACACGCUUCGCCGACUUGACAUCCAUAGUACAAAAGUACUGUGCGACAGAAAGCGUUCGGAAAACCGAAACAAAAUUCUAGGACAAUCCGACCCCGAAUACAAUCUCAGUCCGGAACAAAAGGGCGCAUUAUCGCCAGACACCUGGGCCAAAGAGCAAAAAACAAAAACCCUCUAUAGGGUAUGGAACCGUACUGGAGGGAUGGCUCAAUGGACCCUGUAAAAUUCAUAAUACAGAGGGUGUCACACCAACUCAUAGCCUUAGAGCAUGUUGGAUACUCCGGCAGGUGGCCAGAAGUGGCGAGGAGCUUCUAACUCCAGAAUCCGCAGAGCACCACCCCAGAAACGCCAGUACGGUGUCAACAGUCUUCGAGACUUACGCAUCAAACAAUGCGAGUAAACGAACGCUCCGCAGCCUUACCAAAGUCUACCAAGUAGUGACAAUAAACCCAUGGAGUGACACGGCUAUUACCAUUAAUGCCAGUGACGAACCUAAAUUCCGGACAGCCCAAGCACCAGCCGCACUAGUCCUCAGUCCGAUAGUGGACGGCUUCCGGCUUACAAAGGUACUCAUGGACAGUGGCAGCGGAUUGAACCUCAUCUAUGAGGAAACCCUGCGUAAAAUGGAAAUAGACUGGAGCCGCAUUGAGCGAAGCAACACAACCUUUAGAGGAAUAAUCCCCAGCCGGGUGUUGGAAAUAUGCCCUAGAGGCAAUAAUAAAUUGAUUAUUAUUAUAUUUCCUUGUUCAUGAUAAUCGUUUAUUAUCCAUGCUAGAAUUGUAUUGAUAGGAAACUCAGAUACAUGUGUGGAUACAUAGACAACACCAUGUCCCUAGUAAGCCUCUAGUUGACUAGCUCGUUAAUCAAUAGAUGGUUAAGGUUUCCUGACCAUGGACAUUGGAUGUCGUUGAUAACGGGAUCACAUCAUUAGGAGAAUGAUGUGAUGGACAAGACCCAAUCCUAAGCCUAGCACAAGAUCAUGUAGUUCGUAUGCUAAAGCUUUUCUAAUGUCAAGUAUCAUUUCCUUAGACCAUGAGAUUGUGCAACUCCCGGAUACCGUAGGAGUGCUUUGGGUGUGCCAAACGUCACAACGUAACUGGGUGGCUAUAAAGGUACACUACGGGUAUCUCUGAAAGUGUCUGUUGGGUUGGCACGAAUCGAGAUUGGGAUUUGUCACUCCGUGUAAACGGAGAGGUAUCUCUGGGCCCACUCGGUAGGACAUCAUCAUAAUGUGCACAAUGUGACCAAGGGGUUGAUCACGGGAUGAUGUGUUACGGAACGAGUAAAGAGACUUGCCGGUAACGAGAUUGAACAAGGUAUCGGUAUACCGACGAUCGAAUCUCGGGCAAGUACCAUACCGCUAGACAAAGGGAAUUGUAUACGGGAUCGAUUGAGUCCUUGACAUCGUGGUUCAUCCGAUGAGAUCAUCGUGGAACAUGUGGGAGCCAACAUGGGUAUCCAGAUCCCGCUGUUGGUUAUUGACCGUAGAACGUCUCGGUCAUGUCUGCAUGUCUCCCGAACCCGUAGGGUCUACACACUUAAGGUUCGAUGACGCUAGGGUUAUAAAGGAAGCUUGUAUGUGGUUACCGAAUGUUGUUCGGAGUCCCGGAUGAGAUCCCGGACGUCACGAGGAGUUCCGGAAUGGUCCGGAGGUAAAGAUUUAUAUAUAGGAAGUCCUGUUUCGGCCAUCGGGACAAGUUUCGGGGUCAUCGGUAUUGUACCGGGACCACCGGAAGGGUCCCGGGGGCCCACCGGGUGGGGCCACCUGCCCCGGGGGGCCACAUGGGCUGUAGGGGGUGCGCCUUGGCCUACAUGGGCCAAGGGAACCAGCCCCUAGAGGCCCAUGCGCCAAGAUAUAGGAAAAAGGGGAGAGUCCUAAAGGGGGAAGGCACCUCCGAGGUGCCUUGGGGAGGAUGGACUCCUCCCCCCCUCUUAGCCGCACCCCUUCCUUGGAGGAAGGGGCAAGGCUGCGCCUCCCCCCUCUCCCCUGCCCCUAUAUAUAGUGGAGGGGAGGGAGGGCAUCCAUACCUGAGCCCUUGGCGCCUCCCUCCCUCCCGUGACACCUCCUCCUCUCCCGUAGGUGCUUGGCGAAGCCCUGCAGGAUUGCCACGCUCCUCCAUCACCACCACGCCGUUGUGCUGCUGCUAGAUGGAGUCUUCCUCAACCUCUCCCUCUCUCCUUGCUGGAUCAAGGCGUGGGAGACAUCAUCGAGCUGUACGUGUGUUGAACACGGAGGUGCCGUCCGUUCGGCACUAGGAUCAUCGGUGAUCUGAAUCACGACGAGUACGACUCCAUCAACCCCGUUCACUUGAACGCUUCCUCUUAGCGAUCUACAAGGGUAUGUAGAUGCACUCUCCUUCCCCUCGUUGCUAGUCUCUCCAUAGAUAGAUCUUGGUGACACGUAGGAAAAUUUUGAAUUUCUGCUACGUUCCCCAACAGUGGCAUCAUGAGCUAGGUCUAUUGCGUAGAUUCUUUGCACGAGUAGAACACAAAGUAGUUGUGGGCGUCGAUAUUGUUCAAUAUGCUUGCCGUUACUAGUCUUAUCUUGAUUCGGCGGCAUCGUGGGAUGAAGCGGCCCGGACCAACCUUACACGUACGCUUACGUGAGACCGGUUCCACCGACAAACAUGCACUAGUUGCAUAAGGUGGCUGGCGGGUGUCUGUCUCUCCCACUUUAGUCGGAUCGGAUUCGAUGAAAAGGGUCCUUAUGAAGGGUAAAUAGCAAUUGGCAUAUCACGUUGUGGUUCAUGCGUAGGUAAGAAACGUUCUUGCUAGAAACACAUAGCAGCCACGUAAAACAUGCAAACAACAAUUAGAGGACGUCUAACUUGUUUUUGCAGGGUAUGCUAUGUGAUGUGAUAUGGCCAAAAAGGAUGUGAUGAAUGAUAUAUGUGAUGUAUGAGAUUGAUCAUGUUCUUGUAAUAGGAAUCACGACUUGCAUGUCGAUGAGUAUGACAACCGGCAGGAGCCAUAGGAGUUGUCUUUAUUUAUUUGUGACAUGCGUGUCAACUUAAACGUCAUGUAAUUACUUUACUUUAUUGCUAACCGUUAGCCAUAGUAGUAGAAGUAAUAGUUGGCGAGGCAACUUCAUGAAGACACGAUGAUGGAGAUCAUGAUGAUGGAGAUCAUGGUGUCAUGCCGGUGACGAUGAUGAUCAUGGAGCCCCGAAGAUGGAGAUCAAAAGGAGCAAAGUGAUGAUGGCCAUAUCAUGUCACUAUUUGAUUGCAUGUGAUGUUUAUCAUGUUUAUGCAUCUUAUUUGCUUAGAACGACGGUAGUAAAUAAGAUGAUCCCUUACAACAAUUUCAAGAAGUGUUCUCCCCUAACUGUGCACCGUUGCGAUAGUUCGCUGUUUCAAAACAUCACGUGAUGAUCGGGUGUUUUAUUCAGACGUUCAAAUACAACGGGUGUUGACGAGCCUAGCAUGUACAGACAUGGCCUCGGAACACACGCGAAACACUUAGGGUUAACUUGACGAGCCUAGCAUGUACAGACAUGGCCUCGGAACACGGAGACUGAAAGGUCGAACAUGAGUCGUAUAGAAGAUACGAUCAACAUGAAGAUGUUCACCGAUGAUGACUAGUCCGUCUCACAUGAUGAUCGGACACGGCCUAGUUUGACUCGGAUCAUGUAAUCACUUAGAUGACUAGAGGGAUGUUUAUUUGAGUGGGAGUUCAUAAGAUGAACUUAAUUAUCCUGAACAUAGUCAAAAGGAUUUUGCAAAUUAUGUCGUAGCUCACGCUAUAGUUCUACUGUUUAGAUAUGUUCCUAGAGAAAAAUUAGUUGAAAGUUGAUAGUAGCAAUUAUGCGGACUAGGUCCGUAAACUGAGGAUUGUCCUCAUUGCUUCAUAGAAGGCUUAUGUCCUUAAUGCACCGCUCAGUGUGCUGAACCUCGAACGUUGUCUGUGGUUGUUGCGAACAUCUGACAUACACGUUUUGAUAACUACGUGAUAGUUCAGUUAAACGGUUUAGAGUUGAGGCACCAAAGACGUUUUUGAAACAUCGCGAAACAUAUGAGAUGUUUUGAGGGCUGAAAUUGGGAUUUCAGGCUCGUGCCCAUGUCAAGAGGUAUAAGACCUCCGAUGACUUUCUUAACCUGCAAACUAAGGAGAAAAGCUCAAUUGUUGAGCUUGUGCUCAGAUUGUCUGAGUACAACAAUCAUUUGAAUCGAGUGGGAGUUGAUCUUCCAGAUGAAACAGUGAUGGUUCUCCAAAGUCAUUGCCACCAAGCUGUUAGAGCUUCGUGAUGAACUAUAACAUAUCAGGGAUAGAUAUGAUGAUCCUUGAGGUAUUCGCGAUGUUUGACACCGCGAAAGUAGAAAUCAAGAAGGAGCAUCAAUUGUUGAUGGUUGGUGAAACCACUAGUUUCAAGAAGGGCAAGGGCAAGAAGGGAUACUUCAUGAAACGGCAAAUCAGCUGCUGCUCUAGUGAAGAAACCCAAGGUAAAACCCAAACCCGAGACUAAGUGCUUCUGUAAUAAGGGGAACAACCACUAGAGCAGAAUUACCCUAGAUACUUGGUAGAUAAGAAGGCUGGCAAGGUCGAUAGAAGUAUAUUGGAUAUACAUUGUGUUAAUGUGUACUUUGCUAGUACUCCUAGUAGCACCAGGGUAUUAGAUACCGGUUCGGUUGCUAAGUGUUAGUAACUCGAAAUAAAAGCUACGGAAUAAACGGAGACUAGCUAAAGGUGAGCUGACGAUAUAUGUUGGAAGUGUUUCCAAGUUUGAUGUAAUCAACCAUCGCACGUUCCCUCUACCAUCAAGAUUAGUAUUAAACCUGAGUGGUUUAUUGAAUCUCGAUCGUAGUGAUACACAUUUUCAUGCCAAAAGAUAGUAAUGAUAGUACCACUUACUGGUGGCACUGCCAUGUAAGUCAUAUCGGUAUAAAACGCAUGAAGAAGCUCCAUAUUGAUGGAUCUUUGGGCUCACUCGUUUUUGAAAAGUUUGAGACAUGCGAACCAUGUCUAUUGGUGUAUAUGCAUGAAGAAAAUCCAUGCAAAUGGACCGUUUUGACUCACUUGAUUUUGAAUCACUUGGGACAUGCAAAUCAUACCACAUGGGCAAGAUGACUGAAAAGCCUCGUUUUCAGUAAGAUGGAAAAGGAAAGCAACUUGUUGGAAGUAACACAUUUUGAUGUGCGCAGUCCAAUGAGUGCUGAGGCAUGCAGUGAAUAUCGUUAUGUUCUUACUUCACAGAUAAUUUAAGUGGAUGUUGAGUACAUUUACUUGAUGAAUCAUGAGUCUGAAUUAUUGAAAGGUUCAAGUAAUUUCAGGGUGAAGUUGAAAGAUCGUCGUGACAAGAGGAUAAAAUAUCUAUGAUAUGAUCAUAGAGAUGAAUAUCUGAAUUACGAGUUUGGCACAGAAUUAAGACAUUGUGGAAAUAGUUUCACAACUAAUACAGCCUGGAACACCAUAGUGUGAUGGUGUGUCCGAACAUCAUAACUGCACCCUAUUGGAUAUGAUGCAUACCAUGAUGUCUCUUAUCAAAGUACCACUAUAGUUUAUGGGUUAGGCAUUAGAGACAACCACAUUCACUUUAAGUAGGGCACCACGUAAUUCCGUUGAGAUGACACCGUAUGAAUUAUGGUUUAGAGAAACCUAAGCUGUCAUUUCUUAAAAGUUUGGGGCUGCGACGCUUAUGUGAGAAAGUUUCAGGCUGAUAAGCUCAAACCCAAAGCGGAUAAAUGCAUCUUCAUAGGACACCCAAAACAUUUGGGUAUACCUCCUGUCUUAGAUCCGAAAGCAAUAAGGGAUUGUUUCGAGAAUCAGGUCCUUUCUCGAGGAAAAGUUUCUCUCGAAAGAAUUGAGUGGGAGGAUGGUGGAGACUUGAUGAGGUUAUUGAACCAUCACUUCAACAAGUGUGUAGCAGGGCACAGGAAGUUGUUCCUGUGGCACCUACACCAAUUGAAGUGGAAGCUUAUGAUAGUGAUCAUGAAGUUUCGGAUCAAGUCACUACCGAACCUCGUAGGGUGACAAGGAUACGUACUACUUCAGAGUGGUACAGUAAUCCUGUCUUGGAAGUCAUGUUGCUAGACAACAAUGAACCUACGAGCUAUGGAGAAGCGAUGGUGGGCCCGGAUUCCGAUAAAUGGCUCAAGGCCAUAAAACCCGAGAGAGGAUCCAUGUAUGAAAACAAAGUGUAGACUUUGGAAGAACUACUUGAUGGUCAUAAGGCUGUUAGGUACAUAUGGAUUUUGAAAGGAAGACAGACAAUGAUGGUAAGUGUCACCAUUGAGAAAGCUCGACUUGUCGUUAAGAUGUUUUUCGACAAGUUCAAGGAGUUGACUACGAUGAGACUUUCUCACUCGUAGCGAUGCUAAGAGUCUGUUGGAAUUAUAUUAGCAAUUACUGCAUUAUUUAUGAAAUCUUGCAGAUAGGAUGUCAAAAAUUGUUUCCUCGACGAUUCUUGAGGAAAGGUUGUAUGUGAUACAACCGGAAGGUUUUGUCUAUCCUGAGAUAUGCUAAUAAGUAUGCAAAGGUCCAGCAAUCCUUCUGAGGACUGGAGUGAGCAUCUCGGAGUUGGAAUGUAUGCUUUGAUGAUGAUCAAAGAUUUUGGGUGUAUACAAAGUUUAUGAGAAACUUGUAUUUCCAAAGAAGUGAGUGGGAGCACUAUAGAAUUUCUGAUGAGUAUAUGUUGUUGACAUAUUAAUGAUCAGAAAUGACGUAGAAUUUCUGGAAAGCAUAUAGGGUUAUUUGGAAAGUGUUUUCAAUGGAAAACCUGGAUUAAGCUACUUGAACAUUGAGCAUCAAGAUCUAUAAGGAUAGAUCAAAACGCUUAAUAGUACUUUCAAAUGAGCACAUGCCUUGACGUGAUCUUGAAGGUGUUCAAGAUGGAUCAGUCAAAGAAGGAGUUCUUGCCUGAGUUGUAAGGUAUGAAGUUAAGACUUAAAGCUCGACCAUGGCAGAAUAGAGAGAAAGGAACGAAGGUCGUCCCCUAUGCUUAAGACAUAGGCUCUACAGUAUGCUAUGUUGUGUACCGCACCUGAAGUGUGCUUUACCAUGAGUCAGUCAAGGGGUACAAGAGUGAUCCAAGAAUGGAUCACAGGACAUCGGUCAAAGUUAUCCUUAGUAACUAGUGGACUAAGGAAUUUUCUCAAUUAUGGAGGUGGUAAAAGAGUUCGUCGUAAAGGGUUACGUCGAUGCAAGCUUAACACCUAUCCGGAUAGCUCUGAGUAGAGAUACCGGAUACGUAUAAUGGAGCAACAAUUAAGAAUAGCUCCAAGUAGAACAGUUAUUUGGAAUAGCUCCAAAUAGAACGUGGUAGCUGCAUCUAGGAGAUGACAUAGAGAUUUGUAAAGCACACACGGAUCUGAAAGGUUCAGACCCGUUGACUAUAACCUCUCUCACAAGCAUAACAUGAUCAAACCCAGAACUCAUCGAGUGUUAAUCACAUGGUAAAUGUGAACUAGAUUAUUGACUCUAGUAAACUCUUUGGGUGUUAGUCACAUGGGGAUGUGACCUUGAGUGUUAAUCACAUAUCGAUGUGAACUAGAUUAUUGACUCUAGUGCAAGUGGGAGACUGUUGGAAAUAUGCCCUAGAGGCAAUAAUAAAAGUGUUAUUAUUAUAUUUCUUUGUUCAUGAUAAUAGUCUUUUAUUCAUGCUAUAACUGUAUUAUCCGGAAAUCGUAAUACACGUGUGAAUACAUAGACCACAAUAUGUCCCUAGUGAGCCUCUAGUUGACUAGCUCGUUGUGAUCAACAGAUAGUCAUGGUUUCCUGGCUAUGGACAUUGGAUGUCGUUGAUAACAGGAUCACAUCAUUAGGAGAAUGAUGUGAUGGACAAGACCCAAUCCUAAGCUUAGCACAAAGAUCGUGUAGUUCGUUUGCUAGAGCUUUGCCAAUGUCAAGUAUCUCUUCCUUUGACCAUGAGAUCGUGUAACUCCUGGAUACCGUAGGAGUGCCUUGGGUGUAUCAAACGUCACAACGUAACUGGGUGACUAUAAAGGUACACUACAGGUAUCUCCGAAAGUAUCUAUUGUUUUAUGCGGAUCGAGACUGGGAUUUGUCACUCCGUGUAAACGGAGAGGUAUCUCUGGGCCCACUCGGUAGGACAUCAUCAUAUGCGCAAUGUGACCAAGGAGUUGAUCACGGGAUGAUGUGUUACGGAACGAGUAAAGUGACUUGCCGGUAACGAGAUUGAACAAGGUAUCGGUAUACCGACGAUCGAAUCUCGGGCAAGUAAAAUACCGCUAGACAAAGGGAAUUGAAUAUGGGAUUGAUUAAGUCCUUGACAUCGUGGUUCAUCCGAUGAGAUCAUCGUGGAACAUGUGGGAGCCAUCAUGGGUAUCCAGAUCCCGCUGUUGGUUAUUGACCGGAGAACGUCUCGGUCAUGUCUGCAUGUCUCCCGAACCCGUAGGGUCUACACACUUAAGGUUCGAUGACGCUAGGGUUAUAAAGGAAGCUUGUAUGUGGUUACCGAAUGUUGUUCGGAGUCCCGGAUGAGAUCCCGGACGUCACGAGGAGUUCCGGAAUGGUCUGGAGGUAAAGAUUUAUAUAUAGGAAGUCCUGUUUCGGCCAUCGGGACAAGUUUCGGGGUCAUCGGUAUUGUACCGGGACCACCGGAAGGGUCCCGGGGGCCCACCGGGUGGGGCCACCUGCCCCGGGGGGCCACAUGGGCUGUAGGGGGUGCGCCUUGGCCUACAUGGGCCAAGGGCACCAGCCCCUAGAGGCCCAUGCGCCAAGAUAUAGGAAAAAGGGGAGAGUCCUAAAGGGGGAAGGCACCUCCGAGGUGCCUUGGGGAGGAUGGACUCCUCCCCCCCUCUUAGCCGCACCCCUUCCUUGGAGGAAGGAGCAAGGCUGCGCCUCCCCCCUCUCCCCUGCCCCUAUAUAUAGUGGAGGGGAGGGAGGGCAUCCAUAUCUGAGCCCUUGGCGCCUCCCUCCCUCCCGUGACACCUCCUCCUCUCCCGUAGGUGCUUGGCGAAGCCCUGCAGGAUUGCCACGCUCCUCCAUCACCACCACGCCGUUGUGCUGCUGCUGGAUGGAGUCUUCCUCAACCUCUCCCUCUCUCCUUGCUGGAUCAAGGCGUGGGAGACAUCGUCGAGCUGUACGUGUGUUGAACGCGGAGGUGCCGUCCGUUCGGCACUAGGAUCAUCGGUGAUCUGAAUCACGACGAGUACGACUCCAUCAACCCCGUUCACUUGAACGCUUCCGCUUAGCGAUCUACAAGGGUAUGUAGAUGCACUCUCCUUUCUACUCGUUGCUGGUCUCUCCAUAGAUAGAUCUUGGUGAUACGUAGGAAAUUUUUUGAAUUUCUGCUACGUUCCCCAACACCGGGAAGCGUGCUAUUCAGGGAAAAUCACACUGGAUGUGGUGUUCGGCACGCCGGAUAAUUACAGAUCCGAGGAGGUCACAUUUCAAGUGGCCCCGUUUAGCAGCGGAUAUCACGCUCUGUUAGGGCGAGAAGCAUUCACAAUUUUUCAAGCUAUACCCCAUUACGGGUACAUGAAGCUCAAAAUGCCCGGACCCAACGGAAUCAUCACUCUUGCUAGUGAUACGGACACAGCGCUCCGCGCCGAAAAUAAGACAGCUGCACUGGCCCUCGAGGCAUUAUUCGAAGCCCUGGCGGCCGAGGAACUAACUGUGUUGCCCUCCACGGUGGACAGGGACGACGUGAUACUCGACAAAAGAUCCAAGUCCACCUCCUUCAAGCCGGCAGACGAAAUAGUCAAGUUCCAAGUCCAUCCAACGGACACUACAAAAACGGCCUCCAUCGGGGCACAACUAAGCCCUGAUGUAGACGCCGCACUCAGAGAAUUCCUACGAGAAAAUUGGGACAUUUUUGCCUGGCACCCUUCAGACAUGCCAGGAAUCCCACGCAGGCUGGCCGAGCACAGCCUGAACAUCCUAAAAGGAUUCAAGCCCGUUAAGCAGACUCUUUGGCAUUUCUCCGAACCUAAGAGACAAGCCAUGGGAGAGGAGCUAGCCAAACUACUGGAAGCCGGACAUCAGAGAUAUAAAACAUCCGGACUGGCUAGCAAACCUGGUAAUGGUACCAAAGAAGGACAAAUCCUGGCGCCUAUGCAUCGAUUUCAAAGACCUAAAUAAGGCCUGCCCGAAGGAUCCAUUCCCCCUCCCCCGCAUUGAUCAAAUCAUCGAUGCCACUGCAGGACACGAUUCACUGUGUUUCCUCGAUGCAUACUCUGGCUACCACCAAAUCAAGAUGGCAGAGUCAGACCAAGCCGCAACAGCAUUCAUCACCCCAUACGUCCCAUUCUGCUUCGACACAAUGCCCUUCGGGCUCAAAAACGCCGGCGCAACAUAUCAGCGCAUGAUUCAGACAUGUCUGGGCAACCAGAUCGGCAAAACGGUUGAAGCGUACGUGGAUGACGUGGUCGUCAAAACCAAACACGUCGAAACUCUAAUAGACGACUUGAGGCUCACGUUCGAUAACCUCUGAACAUAUGACAUUAGGCUUAACCCGGAAAAAUGCGUCUUCGGCGUACCAGCCAGAAAGCUCUUGGGCUUCAUCGUAUCCGGUAGAGGAAUUGAAGCAAACCCAGCCAAGAUCCGAGCUCUGUGACAAUUGGAUAUUCCAAAAGAUCUCAAGCAAAUACAAAAAUUGACUGGAUGCGUGGCGGCUCUAAUCCGCUUCAUCUCCCGCUUGGGGGAAAAGGCAUUACCCCUUUACCGCCUCCUUCGGCGCACCGAACACUUCGAGUGGACGGAUGCCGCCAUGGCCGGACUCGAAGAAAUAAAAGCCAUACUGGCAACAAACCCUGUCCUGGUCGCGCCUAGCAUCAGCUAACCAAUGUUGUUAUACAUCGCGGCAACUCACCAAGUUGUAAGCGCAGUCCUCGUCGUCGAAUGAGAAACGGAGGGACACAAAUUCCCUGUCCAGAAACCAGUGUACUACGUGUCCACUGUCCUCACUCCAUGCAAGUCCCGGUACCCGCAUUACCAAAAAAUAGCAUACGCAGUGUUCAUGGCAUCCCGGAAGCUACGACACUACUUUCAAGAGUGUUCGAUAACAGUAGCCUCCGAAGUACCUCUUAACGAUAUCAUAAACAACCGCGAUGCAACGGGCCGGAUUGCCAAAUGGGCCAUUGAGCUCCUCCCGUUCGACAUAACAUAUAAGCCAUGGCGAGCCAUCAAGUCGCAAACCAUGGCCGACUUUGUCGCUGAAUGGACUGAAGCCGAACUCCUUAAAGAGUACGGCACAUAUUCCAACUGGACCAUGCACUUUGACGGCUCCAAAAUGCUGGCGGGUCUGGGGCCUGGCGUCGUCUUGACAUCCCCAACAGGAGAUACAGUUCAAUAUGUACUCCAGAUAAUGUAUACGGACUCCAACAAUGCAGCCGAAUACGAGGCCCUGCUACAUGGCCUCCGGAUGGCAGUCUCCUUGGGCAUUCAACGCCUAGAGGUGCAGGGGGAUUCGAACCUCGCGAUAUCCCAAAUAAACGGGGACUUUGAUGCCAAAGAUCCGAAAAUGGCAGCUUAUCGCAACGCCGUCCUAAAUAUGUCAGCUUGGUUUGAAGGGCUGGAAUUCCACCAUAUAGCCCGGGAAAAUAAUCAGGCAGCAGACGUCCUGGCACGCAUCGGCGCAAAGCGCGAUGCAAUCCCCCCCCCCCCCAACAUUUUCCUGGAAAUGCUAUUCAAGCCAUCCGUACAGUGGGAAGGGGAAUCCGGAAAUCACAACCCGGACCUGGCCGCAUCACCUGACCCCGACCACCCUGACACAACUGAAGACUCCGUCAAUGAAGUCACACCCUCAGCCCAUGUAAUAAUGGCAGUAAUUGCCCCGUGGACAGAACCAUUCUUAGCCUACUUAACUAGGCAGGAACUUCCCGAGGACCAAAAUGAGGCACGCUGCAUAGUGCGGUGAUCUAAAGCCUAUAAAGUCCACGAAGGAGAGCUUUAUAAGAAAAGCACCACCGGAGUCCUUCAAAGAUGUAUCUCCAAAGAGGAAGGGUAGAACCUUCUGGCUGAAAUUCACGCCGGACUCGGCGGGCACCACGCUGCAGCCCGAGCCCUUGUGAGCAAGGCCUUCCGUACCGGAUUUUAUUGGCCGACGGCCCGGGCAGACGCUCAGGACUUAGUCCAGCGAUGCGUCGGUUGCCAAUUAUUCGCUAAUCAAAGCCACAUGCCGCCUACCGCCCUACAAACCAUACCCAUUACCUGGCCUUUUGCGGUCUAGGGGCUUGACAUGGUUGGACCCCUUAAAGGAGGAACCCACAAGCAAAAAUAUCUACUGGUCAUGGUGGACAAAUUCACCAAAUGGAUAGAGGCCAAGCCUGUUAAGACGGCCGAAUCCGGACCGGUGAUAGACUUCAUAUCCGGGGUUGUACACCGUUACGGUGUCCCCCACAGCAUCAUCACUGACAACGGCACAAACUUUACGGCCGACGAAGUUAAACUCUGGUGCAAAAACAUGGGCAUUAAGCUCGACUACGCUUCAGUCUACCGCCCACAAACUAACGGUCAAGUCGAGCGAGCCAACGGUCUCAUCAUGAGCGGCAUCAAACCCAGACUAGUGCGAUCCCUCAAGGAAUCUAACACGCACUGGGUAGAGGAGCUUGACUCCGUACUCUGGGGGCUGCGGACCACGCCGAAUCGCACUACUGGAUUCACACCAUUUUUUAUGGUAUACGGUGCAGAGGCAGUCCUGCCCUGCGACAUAAUUCAUGACUCACCUCGCAUGCACAUGUACAAAGAAAGAGAAGCCGAUCUUGAUCAGCAGGACAGCUUGGACACAUUGGAGGAGGAGCGCGACGUGGCAAAAGCCCGUUCCGCAUUCUAUCAACAGCAGGCUCGAAGAUAUCACAACAAAGAAGUACGGGCCAAAACUUAUAACGUUGGCGAACUAGUUCUACGCCUGCCGGACAAGAAAAAGGACAAACUAAAGCCCAAAUGGGAGGGUCCCUUCAUAAUUGAUCAAGUCCUGACUGGUGGAGCGUACCGUCUGCGAAACGCAUCGGACAACCGACUCGAGCUGAACCCAUGGAACGCAGCACGCCUACGAAGAUUCUACGCCUAGCGCCGGACUCUGUGUUCGUCUCCUUCCUCUGUCCGUUUUUUUAUUACUUAUUUCAAAUUAGCUGCCUGGUAUUUCUCUCCUUCUCCCUCCCUUUUUCUCCCAAGCCUUUGGGGGCUUGCCUGCGCGUUGUUCGCACAUACUUGACGCGCCACCCGCGCUCAUUAUACCUGGGGGCUUCUUUAUCAGAAGCUUAUAUAAACGGGCCUCAUGCCCAAAACAUGUGUGACACUUCCGCAUGAACCUUUUAUGCACCAUUAUAUGUAUCGAUAUGACUUAAGUUUUGGCCAAGCUGGGUUGCCUGGCUCCUGUGCUUACCCUACGUUCCCGUUUGUUCGGCUAGGUGGUAAAGGGAGCACCUCUGUGAUUGUUACUGCCGGGUCAGCCGAAUGUGUACCUCAGACUAGGUGAAGCCGAAAGCUAGCGUUCUUAAGGGAAUAUUCGGUCGGUGAACUAAAAGAUGAUUUUUCAUUUGUCUAUUUAUCUGCCCCCAGAUGCUUUUCUGCUUUCUUUUCGCAGUCUGUACAUGCACUUUAGGGCAUGCCUCCCAGGGAAAGGAACCCUUAACGGAACUAUUCUCCCUGGAAGAUGUUUCUUACUAACCAUGUAAUAUAACAUAACUAGUUGGGCACUUGUCUGCUAAAGCACUUAUGACCCCUACGCCUGGUCUCCAUGCAUGCCCCGGUUCUUACAUAACCGAGAGGGUAUUCGGACACACUCCGGACUAUCGGGUCCAGAGGUUGAAGCGAAAAGGUCCGCAAUGACAAACGAUCUACAAUCCGGCUAGAAGGCAUUUUACAUGUCAUUUUAAAUUACAUAGUCAAUUUGAGUAGGUAUAUUCUUCUUCAAUACCAUCCAACAGGUUGUCUAAUUUACAGUCCUGUUGGGAAUACUUGGCAGCCAGCUCUACCUGGCCAUACACUAAACUGACAGGGAUCUCCUUUCCGUCAGGCCCCACAGGGCUGACCUCGGCCAUGUGGUUCGGGUCAGCCUUCGUGUACCGAGUCUUCACCAUGGCCCAGGCCUCCCUGGCACCUUGACGGCAGGCCGAUAUCUUUCAUAACCGGAAGCGCUGCCGCACUCCCUUCAGCUUCUCUGCAAGCUCUUCAAGGCCUUCGGGCAUGGAGAGGGAUGGCCACAUAGCCUGGACGACGCCUUGCAUUCCCUGCCGAACUCGUUCGUGCAGUUGCAACAGCUCGGGAAGAAGGUCCCCCACUGAACCGGGCAUUUCCUCCGCAGGACGACCUGUCAGCAUAUCUGCAGACAUAGCUCUGUCAAUCGAUUUCCUCACCGAACUCUUUUUUUGAAGAUUCGUUUAAGAACUUACUAAAAAUGCCGCGUCGAAGUCACCGAUUCUCCUUUACGGAAUCAGACAGCUGAGCACGAACAUCCUUUAGUUCCUCGCCCAGCUGGGUAUUGGUGUCUUGAAGCUUGUUCUUCUCUUGCCUCACCCUCGUCAGCACGCUCUCGCCGGCCUUUAACUGGCGCAGGAGUUGUUGCUUGUCCGGAUUCACUCCGGCCCCAUCUGCACUGUUAUUGUCAGAAUUGCACACACGCACUUCACAACAGAAUUAUCUUUCGAAGCAUAUAUUACCUGAGGGGGUCCCCUUGGCAUUCUCUGAAGCGGCCAGUGCAGCCUCGAGUUGGGCCUUGCACUCUUCCAGCUCCUGGGACAGUUGCUUAUUCUUUUUUGUAAGAUCCUGCAUAACAUAUGAUCCUUAAAUCAGUUAUCUUAACUGUUUCAAGUCUCGGGGGCUACUGACAUAUAUAACCAUCAGAUUUACUCACCCGUAUGUCUUUCACAUACUGCUCUGUGGCUCUGGCUAGACCAUUUUGAGCGGCACGGAGGUACGCAUCUCCCAUAUUAAAGGCGUCCAACGCCUCUUGGGAAAAACAUGCGUCACGAAGAACAGUCCGGCGACGCCUGUGGUUCAUGGCACUCUCCACCUCUAAAUGGGUGGCAGAUAGCCCGCCCGCGUCCUUUGUCAGAGGAACGUCCGGUGCGCGCCCCGUGUUCGCCUCCGCUUCCGGACCCGGCCUUGCAGCCUGGCCGGUGGAUGUAGUCCGGCGGGCGCUCUUCUUCCUGAGGAGAGCAUGAGCGUUAGUAUGACUUAAGGGCAUAAACCCUAGGCGUUAAAGUUGUGCGCCGUACCGUUGUGCCGGAGUCUCGAUCCAGUCCGCACUCCUUUUUAGCCCACCUGGCUUCAAUGGCCCUUGUUGGCUACGCAUCGCGGGCUCGGCCUUCCGCCUCAAGGAUUUCCCCUGCAAAACGAAACAUUAUUGGUUUACGACAAUUAAAAUAAAGCAUGGAUGUAUCCUCUUGAAAGUACUGGGACUUUGGUCUCGGUUACCUUUGAGGCUGGAAGUAGUCCGGGAUAGUCGGCCGUAAUGGCCACUAAGGUAUUGUCCUUACUCAAUUGGUGAAACACCCCAUCAAUUAGCUCCACACAUAAGUCUGGGUCCUCUUGGGAGUCCGGGUCGAGGGACCGUUCCGGGUCCUCGGGUUGUGGAGGAGGGCUGUUUAUCUCCUUCACAGUCUCACGCAGCUCCUGCGUUAAAAUUGCUAGACUAAGUACUCAAUUAUGGGAAUUUGAAAACAGGUAGGCAGGUGAAAAUGUUCGCUCACCCAGCUUGGAGGAUUGUACAUGGAGAAUCCGCCCCGUGGGUUGACACGGAGGAAUUCCUCUUCUUCUCCCUUGUACAAAGCGGAUAAGAUCUUCGUUAGAGUGGUAGCAGAAUCCAGCCCCUUGCGACCGCAUCGGGUGGCGUCGUCCUCCCCGUUGAAAUCCCACAUGGGGUGGCCUCUGUACUGAAGCGGUUGCACCCCCGCGUAAUGCAUGUGGCCAUGACCUUGAUCAUGGUCAGUCCGGAAUGAGCCAACAACCUUAUCCGGCUCAUCAGGUAAAGGACGUCCCUGUCAGUUUCCCUCUGAGGGUUCCGUGGGCGCCAGCUCAGGCGUUUCUUCAACGGAGCGUUAUUGAACUCAGGGAGGCCGAUCCGUACAGGGUCCGGCAGGGGGACGUCGUCCAUAUAAAACCAUUCCGAAGGCCAGUCCUCGGACGCCUUCUUUGGGGUUCCGGAUAGAUAUCCGGUCCCGGCGAUGCGCUAUGGUUCGGCUCCACCCACCUGAUAAAUUGACCCCUCCUGAGAGCGGGGCACAAGGCAGAACAACCUCUUCCACAGCGCGAAAUGGGCCUCGAUGCCCAGAAACAGCUCGCAGAGGGCCAAAAGCCCGCAAUAUGCAGUACGGAGGCAGGCGUGAGGUUGUGUAGCUGGAGGCCGUAAAACUCCAGUAGCCCUCGGAGGAACGAAUGAAUUGGAAAUCCGAGUCCUCUUGUUAAAUAAGGGACUAGGCAUACCCACUCUCCUUGAGAGGGAUUGGGGAUGCUCUCCGCCUACUCUCCGCCGCUAUAGGUGGCAAUCCCGGCUCGAACUAGGACCAUAUAUGCUGGGGGGAGGAGCCCCUUGGAUUGAAGCACUACUAGCUUGCUAUGCGGGACGGAACACCGCUCCCAAUCUCCGGGCCGAGGGCUAGAGAGGCGAGAGAAGGAGCUGCUUCGACCGGCCAUGGUGGAAUGGAUCUCUGUCGAAAGCGCUCUGAUGAAUACUCGCGGAGGGAAGGUGGUGUGAAUUGGAUCUAAAUCCUCAUCUCUUUUAUGGGCGGCUCAUUUANNNNNNNNNNNNNNNNNNNNNNNNNNNNNNNNNNNNNNNNNNNNNNNNNNNNNNNNNNNNNNNNNNNNNNNNNNNNNNNNNNNNNNNNNNNNNNNNNNNNNNNNNNNNNNNNNNNNNNNNNNNNNNNNNNNNNNNNNNGGGGGGGGGGGUAAAUGAAAAAAACUCCCUGGCUUUUCGCAUUCGUUUGACACGUGGAAGAUGGUCAUUAUUGGGCACAGAAGCUGAGGAGAGCAGCAUGCGCUAGAAGCCGGACACUAUUUGACAGGUACGUGGAAUUUGGAGAAGAACCGCCUUGCAAUGCCGAAGACAAACUUGCGCGCCGGACUUAUCAUCAUUGAAGCCUGGUUCAGGGGCUACUCAGGGAGUCCCGGAUUAGGGGGUGUCCGGAUGGCCGGACUAUGACCUUUGGCCGGACUCCCGGACUAUGAAGAUACAAGAUUGAAGACUUCGUCCCGUGUCCGGAUAGGACUUUCCUUGGCGUGGAAGGCAAGCUUGGCGAUUCGAUAUGAAGAUCUCCUCCCAUUGUAACCGACUCUGUGUAACCCUAGCCCUCUCUGGUGUCUAUAUAAACCGGAGAGUUUUAGUCCGUAGGACGAACAACAAUCAUACCAUAUGCUAGCUUCUAGGGUUUAGCCUCUCUGAUCUCGUGGUAGAUCAACUCUUGUACUACCCAUAUCAUCAAUAUUAAUCAAGUAGGAGUAGGGUUUUACCUCCAUCGAGAGGGCCCGAACCUGGGUAAAAACAUCAUGUCCCUUGUCUUCUGUUACCAUCCGCCUAGACGCACAGUUCGGGACCCCCUACCCGAGAUCCGCCGGUUUUGACACCGACACCCGCCGCCCGUUCCCGUCGGUCGAGAUGUUCGCCAUGACCCCCGCGGAAGCUCGGGACGCCACCGCCCAAAGUCGCCGAUCUCGGUGGUUCUCCCGCCCCGCCACUGCCCGAUAUGCUCAUCGCCGCCCGUCGGGGUCAAUUAGCGGUCGUGCGACCACCACGCGGCCCACGCAGUCAUCGUCGAGCUGUGGCUUUGUGCCGAGUUCUCGGCACUCGGGCAGCGUAGCGCUGCCGGAGUUGGCCUCAUCCCCGGCACCCCUAAGGCCUCUGCCCCCCCCCCACACACACACCUGACGCCUUUCCUAGACGGCCGGCCGUCUCGCCCCGAUGAGCUACUUCGAUCGAAACUGGGCUUAGUGCCCACGCAAACUAAGCUAGGCAACAAAAUAAUUAGCGGAAAAGGAAAGUGCGGGAAAAAUCACAAGUGAGUUGAUGACACACACUUUAUCACGAGGUUCACACUUUCUUAUGGAAGUGCUAACCUCUGUUGGAGCGGUGUCGAAGCCAAAGCUCCGGAAUACCACGGAAGGCUCAUCGUAUCCCCCUUGAGUCACCCACAACACGGAUCGCCUCGUUGGGGAAGGAUCUAAAGCUUUUGUUUAUUGGCGCCAUCAUCACCACUGCCGAAGCCAAGAAGAUGAACAGUCCAAACCCUCAGCUACUAAUGCCAAAAAUAAUCCACACGCGUAGAUCCGCCGACCCCCUUCACCACCGACGACCGAGGUCAUUAGCAUAGGGGAGCCAUCGGAGGACGGUUGCGGAAGGAGGCCCUCUGGUGGUGGCGGCGGAGGCUAGACCACUUUUCUUUCUUUCCUUGAAAGAAAGAAAAUGAUGCCCGACCUUCUUUCUUACUUUCCAGAUACGACUUUCCAUGGUCACAAAUGGUGUACCUAUUCUACCUCUUCAUAUGUUAUGUGUCAUUAGUUUUAUUGCUAUUCUGACUAUUUGGGUCAUUCUGAUCUCCGGACGGAGCCUACAUACAUUACAUGAUGUCUUGAAGUAUGUUAUCAUAAUGUAUAAUCAUAUUUGUUCUCAUGAAAACAAUAUAUGGCCAAUUUUAGUAUUCUAAUGUGACUGAAGAAAAUAGGAGAGGGAAAGGGAGAGGGAGGGAGUGAGGUCUCCUUUGGUUCAUAUGAUAGAAAGAUUAUAGGAAUAGGGAUUUAAUAGGAAGUGAGAUGACAUGACAUGCAUCUCAAUUCCUAUAAAGAAAGAUGUCAUUCCAUGCAUAGAAUAAGAAUUUUUUUCAUCGAAUCUAGGCUAAUGUUUUUUUUCUUCGAGAUGUGAAGAAUUGGAUCCUACUCUACAUAGGAAUAGGAGUUUAUUCCUACAAACCAAAGGGCUCCAUGAAAAUAUUUUUUUUCAAAUCAUGUCCUAUGAAAUUCCUACGAACCAAAGGAGCCCGAGAGAAGAGAGAGAUGUGCUAUUGGCAGGACAGAGCAAAAUUUAAUGGUGAAACAGUCCGAUGAUGCCACUUGAUGUGAACAAGGCGAUGUCGGACCACUAAAAUACUCCCUCCCUUCAAAAAAGUUUGUCCUAGCACCAGUUAGUGUUAGAUACAUCUAUUUAAAGAAUAAGCUUUUUCAGACGGAGAGAGUAUGUAUGCCCCGUAGCAACGGGCAAUUAACUAGUUUCAAUACAAGUUUCUGAGAUUCCAAAUAAUGAGGCCCAUGUAUUGUACUCCCUCGUCCCAUAAUAUAAGAUUAAUAUAAAAUGUUGUUUGACACUACACUAUGUCAAGAAACGUCUUACAUUAUGGGAUGAGGGAGUACUACUCCCUCCGUUCGGAAUUACUAGCCAAGAAAUGAAUGUAUCUAGAUGUAUUUUAAUUGUAGAUACAUCCAUUUUUAUUCAUUUUUGUGACAAGUAAUUCCGAACGGAGGAAGUACAUAACAAGAAAAUUCCUUCCAAGUAUCGUACAUCAUACAAACAUGAGACUGGAAAAGGAAGAACAGAGACAAAGCUGCAAACAGAAAUAUAUGAAGCCUGUGCUCCCGCUCGAGGGAUUUCACCGCCUGAACGCAUUGGCCUCGUGGGCAUCACCGCCACCCUGAGAAUAAUAGGCGCGGCGGCGGAUGCUCUCUUCGAUGGUGGCGCUGCCGCCCUUGUCAGCACCAAAUAUACUCUUCUUUUCGUCCUCCAAGAAGUUCUUCCCUCUGAACUGGUUUGCAGCCACCGUGGACGCCUCUUUGGCAUCAUCAUCUGCAGCCUUCUUGAUCCUCUUCCACCUCUGCUCUUCGUGGACCUCAGCGUCAGCCUGCAUUUGCCGCAGACGAGCUUCCCUGUCCUCUUCUGACAUAUGGUGCACGCCCCCUCGACGGCGGUUAGUUGUGGGCCCAUUGUUCCUGCCCUGCUGGCUUUCUUGUCUUCCACGGCCUUCUGAACCUAGUUCCCUGCCCUGCCGGCUCUCUUGUCUUCGUUGAUCUCCUGAACCGACUUCAGAGUGGGAGCGGUGUUCAAAAGUGGAAUUGCCAUUGUUCCGGCCAUUUCCAAUACCUCUCUGCUUCGAGUCUGAGCUGUCAUGCUUUGGAUAAGCAUGGAGGCGGUCUGACCCUGAAUUGUGUCUCCUCCUAUCCUCAGCAUCCGGCCGAUCCCGACGUGGAUGCUCAUCAUGCUUAGACAUCUCCGGCCGUCUUCUCCUUGGUUCAUCAUCUUCUGGCAUAUCCGGUCGCCUUCUCAUUGGUUCAUCAUCCUCUGGCAUAUCCCGCCGUCUUCUCCUUGGUUCAUCACCUUCUGGUGUAUCUCGCCGUCUUCUCCUUGGUUCAUCAUCUUCUGGCGUAUCCCGCCGUCUUCUCCUUGGUUCAUCAUCUUCUGGCGUAUCCUGCCGUCUUCUCCUUGGUUCAUCAUCUUGUGACAUCUCCCGCCGUCUUCUCCGUUCAGCAUCUUCUGACUUGUCUUGUCGUCCUCUUUUUGGUUGAUCAUCUUCUGAAAUCUCCUGCCUUCUUUUCCUUGGCGCAUCAUCUUCUGUAUCCGAGGAUCCUUGUCUACUUUCUUUCUUAUGACGCCUUGACCUUUUCACUUCCCUCUUGUGCUCUGGAGCAGAAGGAACUUUCUUCCUCCCUUCGUCCUUGCCAUCACUUACGUCAUCCGAAUCAGAAUUUUCAGCUGAGUGAUGCCUCUUACUCUUCGACUUAUGAUGACGAUGUUUUUUGUGCUUUCUCUUCUCUUUCUUUUCUUCCUUCUGCAUUUUUUCUGCUUCCAUCUACAGAAAUAAGAUUGUAUCAGAGAGUGUAGUUCAGAUGAAAUCAUUGGAAACCAUCAAUAGGCUGCUAUGUGUGGAUGAGUUCACAAGCUAGUUCUAAUUCAGAUGCACGGAAUCAAUUCUGAGAACUUACUGAUUUCUUUAUCUCGGCCAUCUUGAUUGGAUUAUUUUUAAUCCUUGCAAUAGCAUCCUGCUCCCGCUGCCUUAUUAGGAGUAGAGGAUCAGAGUGAAGUUUUCUCCAAGUGUCAUUAGCAGAUUGAGGCUUCUCCUCAAGUAGAGCUCCCAGUGAAGUAUCCUGAAACAUCGUGACAGAACAAAAUAAGCGCUGCAACUGCAAAAUCAAUCAAGCCGUAUAUAGUGAUGCGAUGAUAGAUGAUAGGUAUCUUCAUAAACCCUUAAAAAACAAAGUUUGUCUUUUCUAUAAACCAAACAUACCAUGGUUAUUAUCGGUUCAACUAUUAAUAAGAGAACAUAUAGUAUAAUUCAAUAUGAAACCACCAAACAGGUAUCUGAUCUCUAUUCAGAAGUAAAGAAGAAAACAUACAGUUUACAUAAGUAACAUCGAUGUUUCUUUGACAAUUGUAUGGGACAUUACGUGCAAAUCUGAAAUCCACGAAGAACAAUGGACUAGAAUCACCAGAGAGAUAAGGAACAACUGAGAUACCUUGGAAGAGCCAGCAGCCGUUGGAGCAGAAGAGGAGGCGGGAGCUGCCGCUGGGCCAGGUUGCUGCAGUGCUUGGAAUCCAUCCGAGCUCCCCUUGCCGACGCCCAACCCUGACUCGUAGAGGAAUUCCAACCUCUCCUGCCUCCUGCAAACAACGAAACCACAUACACAUAAGCAAGUGACAGCAAAAUUCCCCCAAAGGAAUUCGGAAUUUCCCAGCAGUUUGCGUGACAAAUCGAAAUGAACAGAUCCUACGAAAAGCUUAGCCCGUGGAACAGGUAACCUCUAGCAGUAAUCUUACACAAGAUCGCACAGGAAUUUACUUCAGAUCCUGCAGAUUUGGCCCUAAAUCCCAUGUGACUCGACUGCCAAAUCGAAGCAGCCUCUAAACCACCGAAUCGAAUUGAAUCUCACGAGCGCGUCAAUUAAUCUCUCCGCACCCGAAACCCUAGUUUAGCUAGCUAAAACAGCGAAUAGACUGGGACGGGAUGCGGGAUGCUUACGGCUUGAAUCCGGCCUGCUCCUGGAUGGCGCGGAACUCGGCCUUCUCCCUCUCCUCCUUGAGCUGCUUCUUGUACUCCUCGAUCUUGUGCUGCUCUUCCUUCUCCUUCUGCUCCGCCACCCACACCUUCUCCACGUUCCGGAGGCUCCCCGUGUGCCACCCCUUCUUGUUCAGAAAUUUCAUCCCCAUGGCGGGCAACCUCCUCCUCGCCCUCCCCCUCCCCCUCCUCCCUUGCCCGAGGCGCUAGACCUGGCGGCGGCGUAGCCUGCCUGCCGGCUUCUCCGCCUCUUCGCGACUUGGCCUCCUCCGCGUCGGCUUCGAAACGAAACGAGAUGGGGGAGAGAGAGAAACAGAGAUCGGGAGGUAACCAAAGCGCAAUCCGCCGCCUCAGCCACCAGCAACUACUAGACGGUAAGCAAAUAGCCCCGUUUUGCGCACGGGAAAGCGUAUUUUGUGUAGAAACGAGACCGGCCCGUUGUGCCCAACGAGAUUAUAUUAUUUGGGCCGAGCCUGCAAGUCGGGCCUAACAUCCUGUGAACAAUGUCCACAACUUCUCAAUUAAUUCUGUGGGUGUUCUAAAAAAAUGUUUUUUUGAGGAAUAUCCUAAACAAAUUGAUUUUGUGGAAUAUCCAUAAAAAUUGAUUUUGUGGAAAACUUAUACUAGUGUGAAUAGCAGCCAUCUUGAUCGAUCUUCCUCCGCGGUACUCCAGCAACUUUGAGAGCGUCAUACCCAGCCGGCACUAGGGUUUCUUCUGCCUCCUGUCGGCGCCAACGCCGGUCUGCAUCGUUUCCUGUGGCCUUAGGGCCAUGGAGGCGUGAUAGAUCCCGGCCUUUGCCGACGGUAAGGCUUCAUUUUUUGAUGCUUUUAUGAGUUUUUUUAGGGUUUGUGACCUGCUUAAAGAGACGAGGCGGUGGCGGCUCUCUGAAGAUGAAAUAAGGUUCUCCUCGCCUAGCCCCCGUCCUGAUAGUGCUUCUAGCGCCAUCAGUGGACGUGUGGAGAUUUUUCUCCGGCGGAUCUCGCGGGAUUCGGUCGGCGUUUGUCUUCAGUGGGUCCACGUGGAUCCGAUAUUUGUUCGUUUGUGUUCGUGUGUCUACAGGUUGAUCCUUGAUCUAAAUUUCUCUUCAACGACGGUGGUUUUGUCUGGUUGCGUUGGUCUUAUAGGGCUUUAGCACCAGUGCACCACGAAUUCUUGACUGUCUACUAUAAGUUUUACCAGGCCUUAGUGAGGGAGGGGCGACGACGGCGGCGCGCCUUCGGCUCGCUUCAGUGCUCGUAGCCGUCGCUAGGUGGUCUACCGAUCUGAAUGUAAUUUCUUAAUAUUUCUAGUAUCCAUUGUAUUAUCAGAAUUGAUGAUGAAUAGAUUAAAAAAAUAUCGAAAGAAAAGACACUUUGAGAGCGGGUUGCCCCUCUCGAUCGAUCUUCCUCCGCGGUACUCCAACAACUUUGAGAGUGGGUUGUCCAUAGGCUUUCAAAACCUCCAAGUCAGAUUAUUACUGUAAAUAAAGUUUGAUGUCAUGACACCAAUCAAAUCCAUCUCUUCCGCAAAAAAGAAACAUGUGUAAGACCUGACUGAAAAAAGCUAUAAAAGGUCAAAAUGAAAGCUACGAAAAAACACUGUUUUAAGGCCUUGAUUGUAUUUUCUUCACAAGAAUACCACAUAUGUCAUUCCUUCACGCAACUUCACACGUGAGUUGAACAGCCAACAAGUUUGAUACCCAAUUUUUUUUAAAAUGACAAAGUUAUACUAAAGCAGGACAAGUAGUAGUAUGGAUCUGAGUAAUUAUGUUUUUCAAUUUUACUAUUGAUGUGGAUGCGUGUGGAACUUUUUUUCCGAGAGUACGCCUAGGCAAUACCAUAGCUUUAUAGAAGAUAGAAUUAUAAGUACAAGAACACUAUCACUCGUUGUAAACAACGAGUGUAGCACGAACUUUUACUAUUCAUGUGGAUGCGUGUGGAACUUUUUUUUUUCAAGAGUACGCCUAGGCAUACUGUAGCUUUAUAGAGGGCAGAAUUAUAAGUAUAAGAACAUUAUCACUCGCUGCGAACAACAAUCGUAGCACGAACACCACACCCAGGCAAGUCCGAAGACAACCACCAACGACCAAACAAACUACAAAGCCCGCUUGUCAACCAACGCCAGACACCUCCAAAGAGAGGAGGUGGCAAGUGGAUGACGGGACUUGAUCAGCUUCGAGGAACACACUGUCCUGGACACACUGGCGACAACCAUACAUUAUGGAUGCGUGUGGAACUAUGUUUACCUUUGGUAUUUUCAUAAGAACUAUUAUGUUUAAACAUAUGACUUUAUAGCGACUAUGUAGAAAUAUCAGUGUGUUUACAUAUCAGCACCAAAUCUCUUGACAUCCUAUAUUUGAUAAGAAGCCAUUGCUUUCCCUAAAUUCCUGCCAAAUUCAAGGCUUAUGCAAAGGGCAAGAAAGUGAUAAUCUUGAGAAGAGCCGGUACAAAUUAAAGAAGCUUACACUCUUGAGGCGAAAAUUCAUAUGGCCUACUACACAUAGAGAAUUGAGUUAUUGUUCUAGGACAGCUACAACCGAACAUCCCGACAUUAAAGAGGAGGUCUUACAUGAUUUACAGAAAAGCUUCUCACAGAACAAAAACUUUCAUAUGCACAUACAAGUAAAGAAGCCCAAGCAUGGAACGCCUCCUGACAAAUACCACAAGGAAGAAGAGAAAACAAUCUUCUUAAAUGUACACACCUGCCAGCCAGCCUGAAACAA